RNAcentral lists this long non-coding RNA (79590 nucleotides) under Eucalyptus grandis. Its description in RNAcentral is "long non-coding RNA (EGRA_LNC004785)". The record is from RNAcentral. Lineage: Eukaryota; Viridiplantae; Streptophyta; Magnoliopsida; Myrtales; Myrtaceae.
UGCUCUUUCUCCCUCGCUUGGUGCGUGCGGGAGAGCUGAGGAACCGAGCAAAGCCAAUUGCAGAUGAAUAUCUUCAUCAAGCAAUUUCGUCGCUGAAUUGAUUCGUCGCCUUAGCUUCGUCUUCAUGAGAUUCUCCAAGUCUUUCAGUGUCUUCAUUUAUUAGCACGUAACCAUUCGGAUCGGAUCUCCCCCAAGGUAGGACGCGGUCGAUUCAUGGAGACUCGAUCAUACGAUUGUUCUGUGUUUGCCUUUUGCUGAGAGCUUCAAAUUUUUAUCUUAAAUUGCUCAUGUUAUAUUGCUCGCCAAUUGAUAGGAAUUCGUUUUUGUAGAACACCUCACCAUUUACUAUCACCACCUGUUCGACGUUUUGACUCAGAGAUGAUAAUAACGAAUUUGUCUUCAUCAUUGAUCAAUCUGAGAUUGCAUAGCAUGAUCUGGAUGUUCUUGUUCGACAUGCUGAUCAUAUAUUGUGAAGUUUGAUGCUUCAUCCAUUGAUGGCAGAGAGUUCUCUUUCCCUUGGUGCUUUGGUUUACUUUGUCUCCUUUGGUUGUGUGACUGAAUUGUUGUGGCACCCCUCGACACGGCCCCCGACCCAUGUCAUACCAUUUAAAUUGUAGUGGGUCCAUAAAUCCUGGGGGUUCGUAUCAUCUCAAUUGGUCCCAACGCAGUUCAUAUAACAGAAGCAUACUCAACAUCUCCCUAACCCUUACUCAAACUAAAUAAUAUAAUGCAAUGCACACCAACUACACUUUUCAUAUAUAUAGAAGCUAAUGCCGAACCACUUUUAUUUACAUACUUUGAUGGACAUCACGAGUCGGUACAACAAAAGGCCAAGGCUUUAACUAAGCUCAGCUAUAACCCAAAAGAACUCGACUCUACAUUAGACAUGUACAUCAAUCCAUCAUCCCAGUGUCGGCCAUCCAAAAAGUGUCAACCUCCACCAAUCACACGCUCCUAUCACACCCAGCUCGGUGCAUCGGCUGGUGGUGGCGGCAGCAUCCCCAUCAUCCUCCCAUCUCGACGAACAUGGACGGAUAGGAACUCCUGGACUACGGGGCCAUCAAGUAGGGCCACAUCAUACAUAACCAAAACACAAACGCGGAUAAACACCAGACCAUGAACACCAAUGCAAUGGUGCUCCGAGCACUCGACCUCAACAUCAGAUGGUAAGCCAUAAAAUGCACCACGUGUGACAGGUGAUAGAGGCAUCUCUCAAUCUAAAAUGUUAGUCCCCAAAAUGGGUGAGUACAACCACUUAGCAGUAAAGAUCCAUCAAACUACACAAUGCAACAAGCAAGACAACCACAAUUUCGUGUGAAAUGCACAUAUCAUUCAUGUAAUCAUGCUUGCAUUUCCAUGAGAUUCACUCAUUAAAACGAUUCAUGUUCCAUGCCAUAUACACAUACAAGCGCAUGAUCCAUAUCAUCCAUACCAUUAUGUAUCUAUCCCCAUGAGAUCCAUUCAAUACCAUCAUGAUCGCAUUCUCAAUGCCAUAUAGUAUCAACUCAAUUUCAUAGACAAUUAUAUCCUAUGCCAUAUGCACACACACAUGCGCAUGAUUCAAUUCCCAUUUUAACUUUCAAAAGGAUCUCAUUUUUUUCUUCCAAAGGACCAGUGUUUGCAUCCCUCAUAUAUCGCUCGCACCCAACUUGGCAUCGCGAGGAACCUCCGGCACACACCUCCAGGCAUCCGGCACACACACUCCGAGCAUCCCGACACUCCCGAGGCAUCGUCGGCUCACACCUCUGACGGUAUCAUCAUUAUCAUUAUACAUGGAUGUAUCUCACUUUGGAAAAUUUCAUUUGAUGCGAUGAUGCCAAAAGUUUCAUGGAAUUUAUGAAAUCUCAUCAAUUUGAUGCCAUAUGAAAUGCACAAAUAUCACCACAUAUGCAGUACAAAUAACAAACCAAGAUAUCAUACCUCAUAGAGCAAUUAAUUUGUUUUUGGAAAUAGAACUAUUUUCGGAUAAAACAGGAUGUACUUCUUUAAUCAAUAUUCUGGAAAAAUUAGUAAACGAUCUCAAUAAAUUUUGAAAAUUUAACAUGAUGUAAACAAGACCUAGAGAAAGAGAUUUCAUGAAGAACACCAUGUCAAGAAAGUUUCACAUCAAUCACAUAGGUCCAUAUAUCACAGCAAAAGAAUUUCCAAUGCCACUUUUGCACAGUUUCGGAAAUAAUUUCGAUUAAGUCCUUAAAUGAACUCCCAAAAAUCCUGAGAUUUUAAUAUGUUAUCAUUGAGACCUAGAGGUAAAAGUCCCAUGAAGAAAUAUAAGUCUAAUUCAUUCUGGAUUAAAAGAUAUGAUUAUUGCAACUCACCCUAACCCUCAGCUCAAUCUCCAGAUUUAAUCCCUUUCAAAGAAAAAUCAUUUCCCCGAUCAAUACUGGUCCGUUUAUUCUCAAAUUUCAAUAUGUUGCUCCUCAAGAUGUCAUCUACAACUCUUAUCAAGGACAUGAGAUCAAAUUUGUCACGCCCCGAUCCUCAAGCACGCACGCAUCCUUCUACUUGGUCAAUUUUAAAAUGCGAUAUCCCAGGAUUAUGUAUCGCUGACUCUUUCAUUUAUUAAGCACAUGCGGAAGCAGUUAUAAAUCCCCAAACAAUAAAACAAUAGGAUAAAAAAGUAGGCCAUAUUUUUCAUAUUGAAACUUAUAACCAAACUUUUAUACAAAACACAACUCCAGGUACUUCAUAACUAUUCACAUCAAAAUAGAGUUCUCAAAAGAAGAUGGAAUCUCAGUCCAUCCGGGUCGUACUUAAGAUCCAUCUCGGUAUUAUCUUCUUCUUCCAAAAACCUUCUCCUCAAGUUUCACCUCAGAGUUCUCCUUCUCAGAUUCCUCCUCCUCAGCUCCUCAUCGAGGUCCUGAAAUGUUUUCCCCAAACUAGGAUGAGACUACGUCUCAGCGAGUUCUACCCCGCUAAGACUCAAUUAGGGAACCAAUACACAACAUGGUUGCCUAAGCACAGCACGAGUCAGAGGACUUACCUUAGCCUCAAAUCCCACCUGCAUGUUAGCACAUAUCAAAUAGACAUCCAAGCAAUCACAUUACAGAUCGAAGCAUCGAUCAAAUCGACUUAGUCGAUUACAUGUCAACAAGACCACUCACGAUCAUUUCCAUUCGAUCAAUCAAUUCACAACAUCAUAUCAAAGCAAUGAUCAAUCGACUUAAUCGAUUACAUAUCAGUAGGACCAUUCCUAGGUCAUUCAUUUCAUCCCAAAUAACCUCGAAUAGUACACUUAGUCAUAGAGCUCCAUUAAUGCUCUCAGGCGUCGUUUUCGCCAAGGUGACAUAAGUAUCAGACAGUCUACGUGCGUUCUUUAAGGCGCCGUUUUCGCACAGUGAUCUCCCUGAUCACCGAAACACGCCCGUCAUAGGUCACAUAUCACCGACAGUCUACGUGCGUUCUUUAAGACGCCGUUUUCGCACAGUGAUGUCCUUCAUCACCGAACCACGCUUGUCACGAUUCAUACGCAGUCUACGUGCAUUCUUUAAGACGCUGCUUUCACACAGUGAUAUCCUUAAUCACCAAACCACGCUUGCCAUAAGUCAUUGAUAGUCUACGUGCAUUCUUUAAGGCGCUGUUUUUGCACAGUGAUGUCCUUCAUCACCGAACCACGCCUGUCACGAUUCAUAGGCAGUCUACGUGCGUUCUUUAAGGCGCCGUUUUCGCACAGUGAUAUCCUUAAUCACCGAACCACGCCUGCCAUAAGUCAUAGACAGUCUACGUGCGUUCUUUAAGGGCGUCGUUUUCGAACAGUGAUGUACUUUAUCACCGAACCACGCCUAUCUAUACUUCGUACUUGAUUGGGUCUCGGCCAAUAGAAUUCGCAGUUAGCUCUCACCACUCUCUUCACUUACAGCUCAACAAGGCAUUACAAAUGUUAACUAGCCAUACUCGGCCAUCUACCAAUCAAUAAUUCAAUUUCACUCAAUUUCAAUCAAUUUAGGGUGAAUCCCUAAAAUAUCACAAUUUAUUUAAUUCCAUGCAACGUAGAGCUCAAUUAAAUAAACAGACUACGCCACGACAAUCAGAACGAGAUUUCGGUCGUCGGCCAUCUCAACCUUAAUUUUCGAAAAAUAAAUAAAUAAUUAAUUAAUUUCGAAAAUUAAAUAAUUAAUAUUAAAAAUUCAAUUUAGCUCAAAAUAAAGCCCGAUUAAAUAAACGGACUUCACCAUGGUCAUCAGCAUAAUAUUCUAAUCACUAGACAUCCCAGUUGAAUUUUUGGAAAAUAAUUAAUUAAUUAAUUAAUUCUGAAAAAUAAUAUUUAGAUGCAAAAAUUCCACUUAGGCCCGAAUUAUUAAAUUGAAGCCUGAUUAGGGUCGGGAAAAAUCCCGGGCUACCCUCAAUAAAUAGUAGACCACGUCUACUUGCGAAAUGCACACUCAAUUUGUAUAAUUCGCAUCACAAUUGACUAAUAAAUACUAAUCCAUACUAAUCUAACCACCUAAACCUAAUUAAUUAAAAAUAAACAACCCUUAAGUGUGAUUAGCCCACUAAGCAAGGAUUAGUGAGAUUACUCACCGGAAUCGCGCGUAAAUCGGAUCAAUCCGACGGGGAUGACGCGAGGAACGAUAAACUCCAAAGCGAGCCUCGGGUUCGGGGCCCGGAAAUGGCCCAAAACCAACCACGAACCGGCUGGAAACCCACUUGAGGUUUCGCUGGUUCAGUUGCAAAAUAGAGAGAAAGAGAGAGGGUUGGGGGCAGCUAGGGGUUGGGAAGGUAGGCGGCGGUCCGGCGAGGCUGCACGGCGGCUCCGGCGACCUGCUCAGUCGCUCACAGUGGCUAAACAGAGGCCAAACAGAGGCUGGAUCGCGCGGGGGACGCCUAGGCGAGAGGGGAUGGGGGCUGGCGGAGCGCGCGGCGAGCGGCGGACGCGCGGGUGCGGGCGGCGGGACGGCAGCGAGCGGUGGGUGGCGACAGUCCUCGGCGAGCUGCUACUUCUGUCCACUGGCUUCACACAAGCAGAGAUGAAGAGAGGAGGGCGACGACGCCUGAGGGGCGUGAGGGAAGGGACGGACGGCAGCUCGGUGGGGUGGCACACGCNNNNNNNNNNNNNNNNNNNNNNNNNNNNNNNNNNNNNNNNNNNNNNNNNNNNNNNNNNNNNNNNNNNNNNNNNNNNNNNNNNNNNNNNNNNNNNNNNNNNNNNNUGCCCAGCUUUAGGCGAGCUGUGCCAGUCUUCCUCUUCUUCAGCUUCUGGUUUUUGCUCGCUCGAGCAGAGAGAGUCGAGAGAGAGAGAGAGAGAGAGAGAGAGAGAGAAGAUAAGAUUUGACUAGUCAAAAGAAAAGAGAGAGAGAGAAGAGUGAGUCGGUGGGGGAGCUAUCCGCACGAAGGGGGAGGGGAGAGGAGAGAGAAGAGAGAGAGAAGAAGAGAGAAAAGGUAGAGAGAAGAAAGAGAAAUAAAAUAAUAACAUUAUUCUUAUUUUUCUUUUUCUCUUUCCUUUUCCCUUUCAAUUUUCUUUUGGUCUUCGAUUUUUCCUCCGAUAAUUUCUUUCUUGAAAUUUCAGACUCGUCAGUAAAUUGACAGAUGAUGAGACGGGUCCUAAAAAUGAAUUGUGACACACUCGAAUAUUCGAUUCCCGAAACUAAUUUAAAUUUCAUGGUUAAAAUCAACCGGACGUGAUUUUAGUCCAAUCCAACCAAUUAGGUAGCUUUUAGGGAUUUUACCACGGAUAUAUCCCUUAACAGCUUCACCCAAUAGGUUAGUUAACUCGUGAGCGAUUAGCUCAAAGAAAAAGGACCAUAGGCGCGCCAAUGAUAUGCACAUUUCAUUUUAUCGAAACGGGAUCGAAUUUUAAGAUGUCACAACUCUUCCCCUCUUAUAAAAAUUUCGUCCUCGAAAUUUAAACCAUUACACACUUUGAUCAAAAAGGCGGGGGUACAACUGUCUCAUCGACUCUUCAGUCUCCCAAGUUGCUCAUUCAGUGCCGUGGUGUUGCCAGACCACUUUGACCAACGGAAUAGUCUUUGUACGCAGAACAUGCUCUUUGUGAUCGAUAAUCUGAACCGGGUUUUCAGCAUAUGAUACACGGUCAUCCAUGUCCAAUUCCUCGAAAUUGAGCACGUGGGUCGGGUCAAGCUUGUACUUCCUUAACAUCGACACGUGAAAGACAUCAUGCACUUGUGCCAAUCUUGGCGGCAACGCAAGACGAUACGCUAGGUUUUCGAUUCUUUCAAGAAUCUCAAAUGGACCUACGUACCUUGGACUCAGUUUUCCUUUCUUACCAAAGCGCGAAGUUCCCCUCAUUGGUGACACUUUCAGAAAAACAUAUUCACCAACUUGGAAUUCCAAAGACCUUUGACACUUAUCUACAUAACUUUUCUGCCUGCUCUGCAUGAUCUUUAAUCUGUCUCUGAUCACUGUCACGGCAUCUACUGAUUGUUGAACCAACUUUGGGCCUGUGAUUUUCCUCUCCCCGACUUCAUCCUAACAUACUAGAGUUCUGCACGCUCUGCCAUACAACGCUUCAAAAGGAGCCAUCUUGAUGCUCUGCUGAUAACUAUUGUUGUAGGCGAAUUCUAUCAGAUGAAGCUGAUCUUCCCAACUUCCUUUGAAGUCUAUUACACAAGCUCUCAACAUGUCCUCAAGAGUCUGAAUCGUCCUCUCGGACUGGCCAUCCGUCUGAGAAUGAUAUGCCGUACUGUACUGAAGCUUUGUACCUAAAGCACUCUGCAAUCUCUUCCAAAAAGUAGCAGUAAACCUCGGGUCUCUAUUGGAUGUUAUCGUAACCAACACUCCAUGCAUACGAACUACCUGACGCACAUACAGGUCUGCGUGUCUAUCUAGACUCAGGUCCUUUCGAACUGCAAUGAAGUGAGCCGACUUUGUCAGCCUGUCGACCACUACCCAAAUUAAAUCAUUUCCUUUUUGACUCCUUGGUAGUCCAGUCACGAAAUCCAUCGUGAUAUGCUCCCAUUUCCAUUCUGGGAUCGCGAGAGGUUGCAGAAGUCCUCCCGGCUUGCAAUGUUGAGCUUUUACUUACUGACAAGUCAAACACUUGGCCACAUUUUUGGCGAUGUCCACCUUCAUACCUGACCACCAAUACUGUUGACGCAGAUUCUAAUACAUUUUAGUGCUUCCAGGAUGAAUGCUGUAACUGCUACGAUGUGCCUUAGAUAAAAUUUCUCUCUAAGCUCAACAUCGUCAGGCACAACCAAACGUCCUUGGAACCUUAGAGUCAUGUCAUCAGCAAUCUGAAAAUCAGCCUUCCUUUUAUCUGCGUCCUCCUGGAGAAUUCUCUGUACAUCUAGAUCUGUCGGUUGGAGUUGCUUGAUUCUGACCUGAACAUCCGGUUCAAUUAUGAGGGUGGCCAUAAGACUUGAAAUGUGGCCUACCUCAAAUUUGAAUUCCGAAUCCCGAGCUCUCUCGAUUAAGUUCCACUCCUUAACCAAGAUUUGCGCUAUUGAAGACUUCUGACUCAAUGCAUCGGCGACCUUGUUCUCCUUUCCCGGGUGAUAUAGAGUGUCACAGUUGUAGUCUUUCAGUAAUUCCAUCCAUCGACGCUGUCUCAUGUUCAACUCCUUCUGAGAGAACAAAUACUUGAGACUCUGGUGGUCUGUGAAAAUUUGAAACUUUUCUUCGCACAAGUAGUGCCUCCAAAUUUUCAAUGCAAAUAUGAUGGCUGCGAGUUCUAAGUCAUGUGUCGGAUAAUUCAAUUCAUGAGGUCUCAACUAACGGGAAGCAUAUGCAACAACUCUACCAUGUUGCAUCAGCACGCAACCCAAUCCCCUGAAUGACACAUCACUAUAGAUCUUGAAUCCUCUAGGAUCAGAUGGAAUCGUCAGCACAGGUGCGGUAGUCAACUUUUUCCUUCAGCUCUUGGAAACUACGCUCGCACUUGUCUGUCCAUACAAAUUUCUCUUCUUUCUUCAAGAGCUUUGUCAGAGGCGACGCUAUCGAUGAGAACCCUUCCACAAACCGUCUAUAAUAACUUGCUAACCCCAGAAAACUUCUGAUCUCUGUCACUGUCGAUGGUCUCGGCCACUUGAUCACGACUUCUAUCUUGCUUGGGUCGAUGGAGAUUCUUUCCUCGGAAAUCACAUGACCUAAGAAUGCAACAUGAGUCAAUCAAAACUCGCAUUUGCUAAACUUAACAUACAACUGAUGAGUUCUUAAGGUCUGGAGUACUACUUUUAGAUGAUUCUCAUGCUCUUCAUCACUUCUCGAAUAGACUAAGAUGUCAUCAAUGAACACGAUCACAAAUUGAUCCAAAUAUUCCUUGAACACUCUGUUCAUCAUAUCCAUGAAUGCAGCCGGAGCAUUUGUCAAUCCGAAUGGCAUCACUGUGAACUCGUAAUGGCCAUACUGAGUACGAAAUGCUGACUUAGGAAUAUCCUCCUUCCUAAUUCUCAGCUGAUGAUAUCCUGUCUUUAAGUCGAUCUUCGAGAAUAUUAACGCCCCUUGCAAUUGAUCAAACAAGUCAUAUAUCCUCGGCACUGGAUACUUGUUCUUGAUCGUUGCCUGAUUGAGUUGCCGAUAGUCGAUACACAGGCCCAACGAACCAUCUUUCUUUUUCUCACAAACAAAACUAAUGUUUCCCCAAAGUGAUGCACUUAUAUGCAUGAUUUCCUCAUUCAUCAAUCUUUAAAUCAGCAUCUUCAAUUCUACCAAUUCAAACAACGACAGCUGGUAAGAAACCUUCGAGAGUGGCUCUAUCCUAGUGCUAGCUCGAUCGUAAUUUCUAUCUCUUUCUUUGACGACAGUCUGACAAUUCAUGUGACAACACAUCUAGAAAUUCUUAGACCACUGAGAUGUCCUCCAUCUCUAGUUCUCCAAUCUGUCCUACCCAAGACAAUCGCCAAGCAACCUUGGCAACCUCCGUCUAACAAACAAGUUGCCUUCAGCCAACGAGAUUAAUGAAAUCAAAGAUUCUUUUCGACUCCCAAUAACCUCGACACUUUCACAUGCUAAUGGACUAAACUGGAUUACUCCAAGACCAUGAUUCAUUAUCACAAGAUGCUCCAUGAACCCACACUAUUCACGUGGUGUCAAACUCACACCUUAGCAACUAGUCAAGCACAACUAUUGCUAGUGAUUCCCUUCUCUUUCACUUUUACUUCAACAAUUUAAGUUCUACCAACUUAGCACAAAACUCUACUGCGUUGCUCUAAUAAAAUCACCUCCAACACAUUCUUUCUCCAAUCGGUGCAAGGUCAAUUCUACUCCCAUUCCUUUCACCAUCCUAGCAGUGUUUUGGUCGCAGUAGCGAUGUCUAUGCUACCUUAGACUUCCACUGACAGUCCUUCACCUGAUGGCCAUACUGGUCAGCAUCAUAACAGGUUCUAGUCAUAUUCGAACACUGGAUUUAUCCAUACUUCCUUCUACAAUUCCGACACCUAUUUGGUGUGUCUUCUAUCUCCUGUCAGGUGAAAACAUGCACUAUUUUUGGUACCAGAAACCUAUUCCAAAACUCCACAGUGCGUUCUAUGGUGCAUUUCCUCUUAUAUGUCCAAUCAAUCUUCUAGGAUUGUCUCCAGUCAGGUAACUAUGUUGGCUAUACUUGAAACAAAUUCUUGUCCUAAGAAAACAUAAGGUCGGUCUUUGCCAUCACGCACAGGAACAACAUGUUCCAUUUUGACUCAGUGCUGACCUAACUAUCACACCCUUCUUAUUGGGUGGAAUGGAAUACUCUUCUCUCCACAUCGGUCUUUUCCUUGACCGAUUUCCAUCUCUACUUGAAUUGGAGCUGUACCUCGACUUGGAUGCAACGGCUCGCUCCCAGAUCAUCUUCACACUGGACCUCAGCAGGUGCGGCAACAACGGCGGUAAUGAUAGCGACAACAACAACGGCUUGAUUCUGAGCUUGCUGGCUCAUCCAAUUCCCAAGGAACACUAGCAUCAAAAUGAUCCUAUCGAACAUAGGAUCAUUCGACACUACUACACUAGUACCAACCUGCGGUGGUACUCUUACACUCGAGCUGGCCAAAGCCGACACUCUGCCACAACCACCUCGGGUACCGACCUUUGUUAGUGCAUUAUCCCGAGUCACAGAGGACAUUGUCCUCUUACUAGGAGUUCUCAACUCCUGCUCGCUCAUGGUUCAGUCUUUACACUGAAACCCAUCUUCCAAACCCACACUGGAUUAGAAGGUGAGCGAUCCACACACAACAAACAAUUCUAGCAUUCAGCUAACACAGACAUGCACCAGCAUGAAUUUAAAGGUCUUUUCUACCAACUAUCCCAUGGUCAACGCUCCUUAUCACUCCAAUCUUGAACUUCGCUCUGAUACCACAAAAAGGGGAUGUCACGUCUCGAUCCUCGGGCACGAACACAUCCUUCUACUUGGUUGAUUUUAAAAUGCGAUAUCCCAGGACUAUGUAUCGCCAACCCUUUUCAUUUAUUAAGCACAUGCGGAAGCAGUUAUAAAUCCCCAAACAAUAAAACAAUGGGAUAGAAAAGUAGGCCAUAUUUUUCAUAUUGAAACUUAUAACCAAACUUUUAUACAAAACACAACUCAAGGUACUUCAUAACUAUUCACAUCAAAAUAGAGUUCUCAAAAGAAGAUGGAAUCUCAGUCCAUCCGAGUCGUACUUAAGAUCCCUCUCGGUAUUAUCUUCUUCUUCCGAAAACCUUCUCCUUAGGUUUCACCUCAAAGUUCUCCUUCUCAGAUUCCUCCUCCUCAGCUCCUCAUCGAGGUCCUGAAAUGUUUUCCCCAAACUGGGAUGAGACUAUGUCUCAGCGAGUUCUAGCCCACUAAGACUCAAUUAGGGACCAAUAUACCAAAUGAUUGCCUAAGCACAACACGAGUCAGAGGACUUAUCUUGGCCUCAAAUCCCACCUGCAUGUUGGCACAGAUCAAAUAGACAUCCAAGCAAUCACAUUACAGAUCGAAGCAUCGAUCAAAUCGACUUAGUCGAUUACAUGUCAACAAGACCACUCACGGUCAUUUCCAUUCGAUCAAUCAAUUCGCAACAUCAUAUCAAAGCAAUGAUCAAUCGACUUAAUCGAUUACAUAUUAGUUGGACCAUUCCUAGGUCAUUCAUUUCAUCCCAUAUAACCUCCAAUAGUACACUUAGUCACAGAGCUCCAUUAAAGCUCUCGGGCGUCAUUUUCUCCAAGGUGACAUAAGUAUGAGACGGUCUACGUGCGUUCUUUAAGGCGCUGUUUUCGCAUAGUGAUGUCCUUCAUCACCGAACCACGCCUGUCACGAUGCAUAGGCAGUUUACGUGCGUUCUUUAAGGUGCCAUUUUCGCACAGUGAUAUCCUUAAUCACCGAACCACACCUGCCAUAAGUCAUAGACAGUCUAUGUGCGUUCUUUAAGGCGCCGUUUUCGCACAGUGAUGUACUUUAUCACUGAACCACGCCUGUCUAUACUUCGUACUUGAUCGGUCUCAGCCAAUAGAAUUCUCAAUUAGCUCUCACCACUCUUUCCACUUACAACUCAACAAGGCAUUACAAAUGCUAACUAGACAUACUCGGCCAUCUACUAAUCAAUAAUUCAAUUUCACUCAAUUUCAAUCAAUUUAGGGUAAAUUCCUAAAAUAUCACAAUUUAUUUAAUUCCAUGCAACGUAGAGAUCAAUUAAAUAAACAGACUACGCCACGACAAUCAGCACGAGAUUUCAGUCAUCGGCCAUCUCAACCUUAAUUUUCGAAAAAAAAUUAAUUAAUUAAUUAAUUUCGAAAAUUAAAUAAUUAAUAUUAAAAAUUCAAUUUAGCUCAAAAUAAAGCCCGAUUAAAUAAACGGACUUCACCAUGGUCAUCAGCAUAAUAUUCCGGUCACUGGACAUCCCAGUUGAAUUUUUGGAAAAUAAUUAAUUAAUUAAUUAAUUCCGAAAAAUAAUAUUUAAAUGCGAAAAAUUCCACUUAGGCCCGAAUUAUCAAAUUGAAGCCCAAUUAGGGUCGGGAAAAAUCCCGGGCUACCCUCAAUAAAUAGUAGACCACGUCUACUUGCGAAAUGCACACUCAAUUUGUCUAAUUCGCAUCACAAUUGACUAAUAAAUACUAAUCCAUACUAAUCUAACCACCUAAACCUAAUUAAUUAAAACUAAACAACUCUUAAGUGUAAUUAGACCACUAAGCAAGGAUUAGUGAGAUUACUAACCGGAAUCGCGUGCAAAUUGGAUCAAUCCGACGGGGACGACACGAGGAACGAUAAACUCCAAAGUGGGCCUCAAGUUCGGCACCAAAACGGCCCAAAACCAACCACGAACCAGCUGGAAACCCACUCGCGGUUUCGCUGGUUCAGCUGCAAAACAGAGAGAAAGAGAGAGGGUUAGGGGCGGCAAGGGGUCGGGAAGGUAGGCGGUGGUCCGACGAGGCUGCACGGUGGCUCCGGCGACCUACUCAGCCGCUCACGAUGGCUAAACAGAGGUCGAACAGAGGCUGGAUCGCGCGGGAGACGCCUGGGUGCGAGGGGACGGGGGCUGGCGAAGCGCGCGGUGAGCGGCAGACGCGCUGGCGCUGGCGGCAGAACGACAGUGAGCGGUGGGUGGCGACGGUCCUCGGCGAGCUGCUGCUUUUGUCCGCUGGCUUCGCAUUAGCAGAGAGGAAGAGAAGGAGGGCGGCGACGCCUGAGGGGCGUGAGGGAAGGGACGGACGGCAGCUCGGUUGGGUGGCGCACGCGUGAACGGCGAAACGGUGGGCGGUUGCUGCUCCGGCUUCAAGCGAGCUGCUCCGGUCUUCCUCUUCUUCAUCUUCUAGUUUUCGCUCGAGCAGAGAGAGUCGAGAGAGAGAGAGAAGAUAAAGAUUUAACUGGUCAAAAGAAAAGAGAGAGAGAGAGAGAGAGAGAGGAGUGAGUCGGUGGGGGAGCUGUUCGCACGAAGGGGGAGGGGAGAGGAGAGAGAAGAGAGAGAGAAAAGGGAGAGAGAAGAAAGAGAAAUAAAAUAAUAAUAUUAUUUUUAUUUUUAUUUUUCUCUUUCUUUUUCCUUUUCUAUUUUCUUUUGGUCUUCGAUUUUUCCUCCGAUAAUUUCUUUCUUGAAAUUUUGGACUCGUUAGUAAAUUGACAGAUGAUGAGACGGGUCCUAAAAAUGAAUUGUGACACACUCGAAUAUUCGAUUCCCGAAACCAAUUUAAAUUUCAUGGUUAAAAUCGACCGGACGUGAUUUUAGUUCAAUUUAACCAAUUAGGUAGCUUUUAGGGAUUUUACCGCGGAUAUAUCCCUUAACGGCUUCACCCAAUAGGUUAAUUAACUCGUGAGUGAUCCGCUCAGAGAAAAAGGACCAUAGGCGCGCCGACGAUAUGCACAUUUCAUUUUAUCGAAACGGGAUCGAAUUUUAGGAUGUCAUAAAAUUCGAACUGAAUAAUUUCACAAAAUUCACAGAACCGCAAGGGAUCAACAUAUAAGUUUUCCAGAUCUAGUAUCUUUGAAGAAAAAUGGUUUCACCAUCCAAUACUUGUUCGUUUUAUCUCAAAUUUUAGUAUGUUAAUCUUCAAAAAGUCCUCUACAACUUUCAUCAAGAAGUCGAAGUGAGAUUCCAACUAGAACAUUGCAUGCAGCUCACGAAAUUACCAAAGGUCGGACUGUUUUUCCAGUAAACAGAUUUCUAGACUAAGGCACUAUUCCCAUAACUUCGAAAAUUCUCACCUCCACCACCUCCAAAAUUCACCAUACAUCACACACAAUCACAGCAAGCAAAGUGUAGAUCAAUGGGCUAUACUUGCCUUAGAUCCGACAAAAUCAAACAAGAAACAGCGACUCGGGGACUUCAAACACAACAUGGUCGACGGCAAAGCUAGGCACACGCACAGCGGGGCUUGGUCUUCCUCUUCCCUUGCCGAAGCACCCACGAACUCUCUCUCUCCCUCGGCUUUCUCUCUUUCUCUCUUCCUCUCCUUCUCUCUUUCUCUCCCUCGCACGACACUCCUCUCUCUCAGUUCAAUCUCUCGAGUAAUCUGUCCCCUCUCUCCUCUUUUUCUUCUCUCACCCAUGAUUAGCAAUCAUUAGAUUGCAUGCAAUGACCACUUGGUUGCUCCCUCUUGCCACUUGUCAUUUUUCUCAUGCAAGAUGGUGGGCUUUCUUUGGGCCGAAUUUGGGCCAACUUUUUGGCCGACCAAAUGGGGAGAAACGGUGGGGGAUUCGGUGAGGCAGUGGGCUGGUUCGGCCUUAAGAAAAUCAGCCCACGCUUUCUCCAAUUUUUUUUUUAAUUUAAUCCCCUCCUAUAUAAAUACAUAAUUACAAUUUAUAUGGCCAUAAAACUUUGUAACAUAAUUCAAUAAAAAUUCAACUUUUAAGGUACAUGGCCAAGAAUAAAAUUUUCCUAUCAAUUUGUUCCCUAGUACAAUCCUUGAUUAUCAUGGACAUAGAAUAUAUUUUCAACCAAAUAAUUGUCCAUUAAUUGCUCGGCCUUGAUCCAUUGAAAUUCAUUGGUCUAAUAGCUAUAAUGAAAUCCGAUGGUGCUUCCAUCACCUAUUCAUGGUUCAUGGUAUAUCCAGGGGUUGCUAUGAAAUUUUAGGAUGCCACAAUUGUCGUCUGGUAUAACCGUAAGUCACUAUACAUUGGUGGUGAAUAAAUCACAGCCAAGCUAUAUCAUGUUCAAUCUCGUUUUGAUUCUCAUAAAAGACCAUUCCACCAAAGUUUGAGAAAGAGAGUCUUCAACCUAAUUUAAAUUCAAAAUAAGUGGAAACGGUAUGAGAUAUGCUCAGGGAUCAGAAGUUUAGUUAAGUUGAGAAAUUAUGGAUAUAUGAAAGCAGUUAAGUUAAGAAAUCAUGGAUAUAUGAAAGCAGUUAAGUUACGAAAUGGACAUCGACUUGGUAAUAAUCGAAGGGAAUCUAAGACUUAUAAAUAGAAGAAAUGCAGAGGAAAGAGAUAUGUUCAAAUUACGCUAAGACCCUGCCAAAAUUAUUGCUCAUUUCCCUUCGAGUAUUGUUGUAACGUUCAUGUUAAUGUUUCCAUUCGAGCGUCAUUUGUACAAACUGUGAUUAAUUUCAAUUCCAGCAAUGUUUAUGUUCUUGUAAUCUGGUUUUCAGUUGAUUUCAUUUGGCUCUUUCCUUUGAGUUUAGUGUUCUUUGCUUUGAUUUCCUUUAUUUCUUGCAUUGCAGCUUUAAAUAAUUCGCAGUACUGCCAAUUUAAUUUCUGAGCAGUUGACUCUUCUUGUCGAUUAUAUCAAUUUCCAUCAAAUCAGUUUAUACAUUUCUUUCAAGAGCUGGAAUGCAUACACGCGCACCAUCAAAGCCAUCUUUGGAAAAAUUGUUUUGUGAGAAGUUUGAUCGCUUUAGAGUCAAGCUAGAAUCAGAAAGUAAAGCUUGACAACCAGAUCAACUAACAUCUAGCGAAUACAACAAUAAGCUUGUUAUUUGUUUUCCCAACUGCUUGACGGCCAGAUCAACUAACACUAGCAAAUUUGCUACAACAAUAAGCUUGUUAUUUGUUUUCCCAACUGCUUGAUGGCCAGAUCAACUAACAUCUAGCGAAUUUGCUACAACAAUAUCAUAUAGCUAAACAGGCCAAUGUACACAAGUGGUUGCACAAUAAUAGGAUUCUAAAGUUAGCCACCACUGGUUCAAGAGGUGACUCCCACCAUGUGAUAGUUUUUCCUAACAAGGCUCAAAAGGCGGCUUCCACAACGUAACACUUUAUCCCGUGUGGCUUUCGAUUUGCAUUGUACACAAAUGUCAUUUCAUAUUCAAUGUACGGGUCACAUAUCUUAUGCUCAAUAUAUUACCCAAUGAAUAAUGAUUCUUCGAGCAGACUUGUGGUAUGUGGUUAUGUACUUGCUUUCCGACCCCAUAUGGUUUUCAAUAAGAGUAAUGAAUCUUGAGCUGAAGGAAUGUGCUGACUCUACAUACCAAAUUGAGCUGGCUCUAGAAGAACUUGUUACAUGUCUGCUUGCUAUAUUCCACUUCGGAAUCUGUAUUGAUGCAAGCUUUGCCAUCAAACUACUGAUAUACCAAUAGAAUUGUGGGUGCAAAUUACAGAGUAAAUUACGGCUCAAAAUUAUCAAUCAAAGAACAUGAUAUAUACUUUCUACCUUUGCUUUUGAUAUUAUGAAGAGCGGUGUACUAAACCUAUAUUUGGCGACAGCCCUUCGAAUUUUCUCUGCGGGAGUUCGAUGUGUAGACUUAAUUCUUACUCAGCUCAUAAAUCUGAAAAUUCUCAAUAUGAAUAGAAGUAUCUUUUGGCCUGAGCAACACAAAAAUAUGAGAGAGCAAGCUUGCUUCAUGUCGUACGGUGUGUUCGACUGAUACAUUCCAUGACUCUGAUAAUCUCAUAUUCUUGAAAAACGGAUUCAAUAGUUAUUUUAUGAGUGCCAUGAAUAGAUCAUAUAUGAAGAUUAUUUGUCCGCUAGCUUUACAAAAUGAGACCGUAUGUUACAUUUUCUUGGAUAAAAAAGGAAGGAGAAGUUAGACAAAAAGGUAUCUUGGUUUUAUAAUGUACCAUUAGUUCUUGAACAUUUUAUAGCUAAUUGGGAUCUUAAACAACCUAGUUUUAUUUUUACUCUUUUUUUGUCCGAUGACUUCAAAGUAGCUUAAUUGAUCUCUCGUGCAUCGUGAUUCUCAUUUUUAGCUGUGGUACUCUAUCCUCUUGUCUUCUUCAAAGCAUUUUUUUGCACAUCGUGAGUUUUGUUUCGCGCUCAAGCGAAGGCUGGGGCACAAUUACAAGGGGAUAAUGGAGUGCCGUGAUGGAAAUGAUGAUUGAUGAGGCGGAGAGCGAGGGUGAUAGAGUCUCUUUGGAGUGCUCUGUUCUGUCCAAAAUUCCACGAGGUAAGAAUGGAACAAACUCAUCUAUGAAUUUGAAUGAUGGCUUGGGCAUAGAGGGAGAGUUUAGAGCUUCCAAAGCCAUCGAAAGCUGCGUGAACAAGAUUAUCUUCCACCGCCAGUGCUUGUCCCUUCUAUAUUUCGUCUGAAGAAACCCCAUUGUUUGACGUCCGCCAGGUGUUUGUGAUUUUGCCUAACUGAAUCCAGCUUUAAAACACCCCCUCCUCCCAAAAAAAAAAAAAAAAAAAAGCCAAAACAAAACCAAACCCGUUGUUUAAUUUACCGGUUAAAAUGUUUUGACUACUAGUUUUGUGAAGUUUGUUCUAUUUGUUUUGUUUAGUAUUUUUAUGUGGCAGCUUGUUUCAAAGCAAAGCGGCGUUCUAUCUAUUAUAUCAAUGCUCAGGUCAAUUAGAUGGAUCAGGAUAUUCUAUAUACUCAAAAUUUCAUGUAAAUUUGUUUUUGGAGGAUUGCUGCUAUCCCUCGGUGUAAUGCUGGAAUAAAACUGGUGUAAUGUGAUCGUGUCUUGUAGACUUGUCGUGGAUGAGAAUUGUUCUUGUUGUGCUUGGGAGGCAGUCUAUUUUAAUCUCAUGCUGUUGGUACAUAUCCACUAGCAUCUAUUUGUUUUUCUUCCCAAACCUGUUAAGUUGUUCGCUUUUAUAUUGAUAUAGGAAGGACUUAUGUAAAAGUACCAACUACGGAUGAAAAGUUGAAGUUAACUCUUGAAAAUACUGCUUAGUGGAGGACUCUAACUGAGCCUAACAAAUAGCAAGAGAGACAAUAGAGCAUGGGGGCAAGUUUCUAUUUGAAUUUGGAAAGUGAAGUUCUUGUUAUGUACCAUUUGAGAAGGUAAUCUUGUCGUGGUUUUGAUUUUUUUUUUUUUUGUAACUUUUGUGCAUCAUUGCUAGAAAGGAUGAUGUCGAGAUGACUUUGUUUCUUAUGAUUUUUUAUUUGAUCAGAUUGUUUUCUUAUGAAUUAAAAAGUAGAAAUGAGAAACUAAUUUGAGUUGGAUGGCCUCGACCCAAUGCUUGCUGACCCCAAGUUUAUAAUGCAUAAUAUUCUUGCAAGCUAGGAAUGCUUGGAUAGAUAGCAUACGCAUAAGAUGCGGGUGAUAAUUUUAAGAAACAUAUAUCUAAAGCUGUUGAAAAAGCCAGGACCGAACCAGUCUGAAUGGAAUUGACUCAAAUCAAACUGCUUAUUUCGAAUUUUUUGGGCCGGGUAUUCUAUGUGUUCAGGUAUUAUGUGAAAAAUCAGAUAUCAUAAAAUACACUACUCUCCCAGAUCAUUACCAAAUCCAUCUUCUCCAGUAGAGACUCUUUAGCUCCCAAAUCCGUUGUCUCCAUUGGAUACUCCCCAUGAUCGUGAAGCUCUUUGCUUUUGAAUCCAUCUUUUCCAAGAGUGUGAAGCUCUCUUGCUCCUGUACUUUCUUAUUGUCUUUGCGUUAUCUUUGCGUCUACUCCUAUUUCCUCUUAGAUCCACAAGGAGUACGACAAUUUGGUCUGUCUAAAGAGUAACUCUAAUCAAAUUAUUUCGCUCGCUGUCUACGCUCCACUGUCGUUAAUUUCUUUAUCUUUAUCUUUGUUGUAUUUGUUUUUGUUUAUUCGGCUUAGUUUAAUCAACAUAUGAAAAAGUUGCGAACCAAUAAUUUUGUUGUUGUAAAGAUGUCAUUUCUCUUAAUUUUAUUGUCAAUUAAUUUCAGAAUAUCAUACUUUUCAAAAUUGAAGGUAUAUCUCCCCCAUCUCACAAUUAUUUAAAUUUCUUUCCAAUUGCCUUGUUAAACGUUUAUCUCUUCUGCACACAAACAAUAUUUUUUCUUUAUCUUCCGUUUGCGUUUCUUUCAUGCGCACACAUGUGGUUUUAAUUGUUCACAAAUUUGAUGAUUUACGAUGUUUUCAUCAUGUCUAAAAUGGGUGUCGUUUAUGUCAUAAAAUCUUAAAAAAGAAAAAAGGCAACCCGCAUUCGCCAGUUUGAAAACCUGAGGCACGAUACAACAUUGUACUGUUUACUUCUAUUAUUUUGGGCAUUCCCACGUCCCACCUGCGCCACCACGACCACAGAGAAAAGCCACUCCCUAAUCAGUUUCACUUUUCACGCUAAACACAAAUAGUUAAAGAAAUAACCAGAAACCUUAGUACCAGCCGGUGAAAUGAAGUAGCAAUAUUUCAUAUGAUUAAAUAAUGACCAUAAGAUGAUAAAAAAAAAAUCAUCAUGAAAAUAAAAUCCAAGAGUGGUCGUUGAAUAAUUCAUUAUGUGCUUACCAAAAGGCAAUCAAGGAUCAUGUGAGGCCAAUGAAGUUCGAGUAGGUGUCAACGUUCCUAAUCAGCUUAUUUCGUACCAUGAUCAAGAUCAUGCUUGUCAUGACGCUCGUUGGCUGAAUCUGCUCAUUGUUCUUGGAGCUGCGACACCCUUGCUCUCCGGCAGCGGAGCUCAAGCUGAGCUUGUUGAGCUUGGCAGGCCCUACCGCCUCCUUCUCUGCAAUUCCCUCAUCCCUCUCUCAUCUCCUUUGCUCGUUAAUACAGCUUCAUUUCCUUAAUUAAUCCUAUGUGAUUAAAAAGUUUUCAUACAGGUCCUGGGGAUCCUUGGGAGAUAUGGAAACCUCUUUACAAUGUGGAAACCAUUCUGGCAUCUAUCUUCCAAUUAGGAGAAUGUCGACUCAAAAUGAUUUCCUGUCAUAGAGAGAGAGAGAGAGAGAGAGAGAGAGAGAGAGGGUCUGACCUCGAGAGUCCCUGCUUAGUGCACUAUACAAAGUAGACAAGUUUCUUUAGAAUAAAUGGGGUCAUUGUCAAGUUCGCCUUAGAGCAUCUGAAGGGGUCCUAAGGAAGUGUGAGCAAUUGAAGUGUCGUUGUGCUCCAAUAGCCUUAGCCAGUCGAAACAAAUCAGAUGCUUGAAACAGGCUAGGAGGAACACAAUCAAAUAUGUUUGAGCAAUCUCUAGUGUCAUGUUGAGAUGUCCAAAAAUCGUUUUCCAAUCUGUUCGAUGAUAUAAAUGGAUAUCUUUGGGAGUAGGGCAUACAAAAGGUCGAAUACAAAACCAUGACAUCGUGUGAUCACAUUUUGGUCAACCUUUUACAUACUGGACCUUAUUCUAAAGGAAGAAGAAGGUUCAAAUCAAACAGAGCCAGAGAAAGCCGGUCGAGUUAAAAUGGAUUCAAAGGAAGAUCAUCACCUUCCCCAGGAAAGGCGUGACAACCAUGACUAUGGUGUAGUACGAGUUCAAAUGGCACCUGCCGUUAUAGUAGUGCUGGCUCGCAACACUCAAUAUUUGUUGGAUUGAUCGCGGCUUCUUAAGGAAAUUAUUCUGAGGGAAACGAAGCGGCCUAUUUUGAUUUUCAGGCCUUCAUGUUUUACCUUUUCCUUUUUCAUUUUUGUCCCCAGAAGAACUUGUUACAUGUCUGCUCGCUCAAUUCCAAUUCCAAAUCCAUAUUGAGACAAGCUUCGUCCUUCAGGAUACUGACGUGCCAAGAGAAUUGUCGGGUGCAAUCAUUUCAGUGUGAAUCGUGAUAAAAACUUUCAUUCAAAUUAUUGUGGUCAAUCUACCUUUCCUUAUGACGUUGGGAAGAGCCGUGUACUAGAUCUAAAUUUGGUAAUAGCUUUUCGAGUAACUUUUUGCAGGGAUUCGGUGCGUGGACUUAAUUCUUACUCAGCUAAUAAAUCUGAAAAGUUCUCAAUAUGAAUAUAAAUAUUUUUUGGCUUGAUCAACACAAAAAUAUGUUAGAGCAUGUCACGGGGCGUACUUGAUUGAUACCUCCCAUGACUCUGAUAAUGUCAUAUUCAUGGGAAACCAAUUCAGUAGUUACUUUAUGAGUGAAGUGGAUAGAUGAUGUAUGAAGAUUGUCCAUCCGCUAGCUUUACUAAAAGAGAUAAUCUAUGUCACUUUUUUUUUUCUAGAUAAAAGAAGAAGUUAGAUGAGAAGGUCUUUUGGUUUUAUAAUGUACCAUUAGUUCUUUAACUUUUUGGUAGCCAAUUGAGAUCUUAAACAACCCAAUUUUAUUUUAACAAUACAGUUACUAAAAUUUAAUAUAUUAUGGUAUACUAAUGAGAUGACGGUUUUUUUUUUCGACAAAAUGAGGUGAUGGUUGACAUGGCAGAUUACGUGGGCAUUUGAUACAACGCUUAGUAAACGUGCGUGAGGAAUAUAAAAAGAAAAGCAAAUCAUAAUGGUUGAAGAUCAUGAAAGCGAUGGCUUUGAGGGUCUUGGGUCGAACCUAUUUGACUUCUCCUACUCUCCAUCCUCUGGAUUUCCUCUUUCUUUGUUCUUUUUUCCAAUGACUUCAAAGAAGCUCGAUUGAUCUCUGGUGUAUCGCGACUAUCCUGUGCUACCAGGGUGUUACGAAAUCGCAUGUCGAUUCCAGAAAAAUAACGCUCGCAAACAAUUCACCAAGCAGAAUAUAAUAAUAAAAGAAUAGAAUUAGAAGAACAUGCCAGAAGAUUUGUUAACAAAGUUCACCUAAACCUGGGCUACGUCUCUACGCAGAGGUACUCUACAAAUCCACUAGACUUCAAAAAAAGUUGGAAUACAACGAUGAUCUUCUCUCAAGAUCAGGGCACAAAGAGAUUGAGAACCCUCGUAAAGAAAAAGAACUCACUUUUUUCUUCUCUCUUUUUCUUACCUCUCUAUUUUCUCGACCAGCGUCUUGCCAUCGCUAAUAUAAAGGUAUUACUUUUAACCUAAAAGCAAAUUUGAUAGAAAAAACAAAAAGCCCCUAAAAAUAUUUGGCUUCAUCUAUAACAAUCUGCCACUUGAAGACAAAUAUACCCAAGCACCAAGCUACUUUGCAUCCAUCUUCUUCAAAAAAACUAGUACUUGAAAAACUUGUGCCUCUACGAUACUCCUCAUCAAUCAACAUGGAGCAAUAUCAAUGGUAGCAGUACAGAAAAUAUGAUUCUCUCUAUCUACUACCUUGGUCAACAUGUCAGCUGGAUUCUUCAAGCCAUCAAUCUUCUGUAGCUUUAACUUGUUAUCUUUCAAUGCUAAUCUAAUAAAGUUAUAAUGCUUCUUGAUAUGUCUAGUCCUUGAGUGAUAAGCUGCAUUCUUUACCAAGUACACUGCACUUUGACUAUCACUCCACAGUGUACUGACUAGCUAUUUUCGAUGUAGCUCCUCCAUGUAAUCUUGUAACCAUAUGAUUUCCUUGGAGGCUUUUGUGAUUGUCACGUUUUCUGCCUCUAUCGUCGAUAAAGCUACUACUUUUUGUAAUUGAGAUACCCAACUCACUGUUGUACCUGCAACUGUAAAGACAUAUCCAGUGGUACUCUUACCACUAUCUCGAUCACCCGAAUGAUCUGUAUCUACAUAACCCUGCAACUCUAGAGAUGUACCAUCAUAACACAGUGAGUAAUUGGAAGUACCUGCUAGAUAUCUCAAUAUCCAUUUCACUACAUUCCAAUCCUCCUUACCUGAAUUCUACAUAUAUCGACUCACAACUCCCACUGCCUGUGCAAUGUCUGGUCUCAUACUCACCAUGGCAUACAUCAAACUCCCCACUAUUGAUGUAUAUGGAACUACCGCCAUCUCAUCUUUCAAAGCCUGAGUGCUCGGACACAUAUCCUUGAAGAGUUUGAAGUAACUCACUAAAUGAGUUGCAACCGAUUUUGCCUUGUCCAUGUUAAAUCUCUUAACACCUUGUUCAGAUAGUCUUCCUAUGACAGCCAUAGUUUCUUAUUUUUCCUGUCCUUGAUGAUUUUUCAAGCCUAAAAUAUUCUUGGCCUCUCCUAAGUCUUUCAUAACAAAUUGUGAUAAUAACAUCUUCUUCACUUCUACGAUUCUCUUCAUAUUGGAACUAGCUACCAGCAUGUCAUCAACAUAUAAAGAGAGAUACACAAUGUCACCAUCGUCAUACUUGCAAAAAUAAAUAUAGUGAUCAGACUCACAGUGUGCAAACCAUUUUCUUUCAUGAAACCAUCAAAUUUUAGGUACCAUUGUCACGGAACUUGUUUCAAGCCAUACAAGCUUUUCUUCAAGCGACAUACCAUGUGCUCCUUACCUUUGACUUCAAAACCCUUAGAUUGUGCCAUGUAUUCAUCUAAGUCACCGUGAAAAAACGUUGUUUUUACGUCUAACUGCUCAAGAUGAAGAUCAUCCACUACAACUAUACUCAACAGAACUCUAAUUAAUGUCAUUUUCACUACAGGUGAAAAUAUCUCGGAGUAAUCGAUCCAUUCUUUUUUAGAAAAGCCCUUAACUACAAGUCUCGCCUUGUAUCUAAUACUACCAUCGCUUUAUUCUUAAUCCUAUACACCCAUUUGUUUAAUAUUUUUUUUUUUACCUGUGGGCAACUUGGUCAACUCCCAAGUUUUGUUCUAAUGUAACGAGCUCAUCUCGUCUUUCAUAGCACACUCCCACUGCAAGUGAGACGUGUCUACCUUUGCCUCAUCGUAAGUCUCCAGUUCCCCUAAAUUUGUAUAUAAGACAUGGCUCAGAAUAGUAUUAGCUAAUGGAUUAAAAAUUACCUUUAGCUUUCUCACAUGUGUAAACCUCCUCAAUACAGGUACUUCAGGGUUGUUAGUUUGCUCCGCAUCACUGCGUUCAUCUUGAACUACGUCUUCACUGAUAAUAAGCUCAUCUUGAACCUCUCUUUCAAGUGCACUUUGAUCUACUGGAAACAUCUUCACGGGCAUUGUGUUUAAUUCAACAUAUUCUGGUUCUACUACCUUCUCAUGCUCUGUCUGACAAUCCUUGUACAUCUUUUCUUCAUGGAAUACCACAUUCCGACUGCGGAUGACUUUGUUAUUCUCAUAAUCCCAAAGCCUAUAGCUAUCACGCCCCAAUCCUCAGGCACGUACACAUCCCUUACCUUUGGUCGAUUUUAAAAGCGAUAUCGCAGGACGUAUCGCCAACCCUUUUCAUUUUAAUAUGCACAUGCGAAAGCAAUUAUAAUCCCAGACAAUAAAACAAUGGAACAUAAAAGGAGGGCCAUAUUUUUCAUAUUGAAAUUCACAACCAAACCUUUAUACAACCAUACCUCAAGGUAUUUUACCAUACUAUUCACAAAGGCCUAGUCUCACACUCAACCACCUAUAAACAGGGUUCACAAAGAGGAUGGGAUCAUAGUCCUCAUCCGGGUCAUACUCAAAUCAUCAUCGGGGUUCUCCUCUAGGUACUCCUCUUUGGGUUCUUUCUCCUUAGGCUCCUCAUCAGGGUCCUGAAAUGUUGUCCCACAACCAGGAUGAGAUUACAUCUCAGCAAGUUCUACCCCCUAAGACUCGACUAGUAAACCAAUAUGCUAUCCGAGCUGCCUAUGCACGGACGGGUCAGAGGACUUACCUUGGCCUCAGAUUCAACCUGCAUAUUAGCACAGUUCAAUAGGCACCCAAGCAAUCACAUCACAAAUCGUUAUCUCGAUCAAUCGGCCUAGUCGAUUACAUGUCAAUCGAACCAUUCACUGGUCAUUUCAAUUCAAUCAAUCAGAUUACGGCAUCAGAUCAAAGCAAUGAUCAAUCGACCUAGUCGAUUACAUGUUAGUUGAACCAUUUCUAGGUCAUCUCACUCCACAUUAUAUAAUCUCCAAUAGUAUACUUAGUCACAGAGCUACAUUAAUGCUCUCGAGCGUCGUUUUCGCCAACGUGAUGUACAAUAAACACUUUAUGCGCAUGCUUUUAGGCAUUCCAAUUACUUUCAGCCACACGGGCACGAUACUCAACACAUAGGAAUACGACCACGUAGGCACGAUUUACGCCACACAGGCAUGUUCUAUGCCACACAGGCAUGAUCAAUUAUCGCCACACAAGCAUGAUCAAUUAGCGCCACACACAAUUAUCACCACACAGGCAUGAUCUAUAUUCAACAAUUUACGUGCAUUCUCUAAGGCAUCCUAUAUGCCAAAGCGAUGUAAUAAUCGCCGAGCCACGCCACACAGCAUUUUUUCUCAUCUUUUAUCAUACCCGAUAAAAUAUCGUGCGUGGGCACACGGUUGGCCUUAGCCAAAAUAUAAUAUUUUCAUUUCCAUAACUCCCACAUAUUCUGUAGUAUACUCAAAUAUUUUUGGCAUUAUCAACCGAUUCCUGGUUAUUUUUCAAUUAAUAACCAAUGAUUAUCUAAUUAAAGGAUAAUUCUCAAUUUCACAAAUAAUUCAAUUCAGCACAAAAUAAAGCUCAAUUAAAUAAACGGACUGCACCACAACAAUCGGCAUGAAAUUCCGGUCGUUGGCUAUCCCUGUCUAAUUUCUGGAAAUUAAUUAAUUAAUUAAUUAAUUUCGAAUAUUAAUAAUUAAAUACUAAAAAUCCAAUUUAGGCCCGUAAUGCCUGAUUGAGGCCCGAUAAGGGUCGGGAAAAAUCCCGAGAUGCAUUCAAUAAAUAAUAAUACGUCUCUACUUGCUAAUGACUAAGUCUAACCACCUAACAUACAUCAUUAAGUCACUAAUUUAAUUGUCCUAAACUAAUCUAACCACCUAAUUGCACUUAAUUAAAUCUAAUCAAUCCUUAAGCAUAAUUAGCAAACUAAGAAAGCAUUAGUGAGUAAAACUCACUUGAUUAAAAGCGGGAACCGGGACACUACGAUGGCGACGCGAUAGUGGCCGAAAUCGGGCUUUCGAUGACACCGACGGACUUGGAUCGGGCCUUAAACUUGGGCCCAACAAAUCUCAGCCCAAAUGAGAUUUGUUCUUGCACUGGACUGGGCUCGCUCUUGGGCUUGUUGCAGCUGGGCUGUUACUUGGGCUUUUCUAUUUUGAAAAUGGGCUGACUUCGUUGUGCUUCAUUGGACUGGGCUUCAAGAGGACUGAAACAAAAACCGAACUGGGCCUGUCUUUGAAUGGGCUGGAAAUUCACGGGCUUGCUGGGCUGUUGGAUUUGCGUUGGAGGAGCUAGGCCGAUCCACGAGCAAGAGAAGACUGAAGCCGCUGGAUUCGUGGGCUUCGGUCUUCACGUGGGCUGAACGAAGGAAGCAACAAGGGACGCUGGAAUUCACUGAGGCCAAAGGAACACAUGAGCUGCAACAAGCGUGCGCUGGGUCUUCGACUGGCGGUGAGGAGACGCGGUAGGUGGAGUCUUCAAGCAGCUGCCGGCGUGUUCUUCCAGGAACGAAAGAAAUGGGCGCUGGCCGCGUGGAUGAAGGUUGCUCGGUCAACAAAAGGCUUCACUCAGUGGGGGAAAUUGACCGAAUGAAACGCAGCUUGGUGGAGGAGUAGGCACAGAGAGAGAGAGACUUGGUGGAAGAGCUACUGCAGGGGAAGACUUCGGUAGAACUCUGGGCUUCGUUGACAGGCUUGGACACGUGGCAAAGGGGUCAACAAUCUUGCUGAGAUUGACUAAAAUCUCGGUGGGUUGGUCUUCGGUGCAGCUUGCAGGGAGAGAUCGACGAGGGAAAUGAAAACAGGCUGGGUUGUUGCUGCGUGGAGUUGGCGUGAGGCUUCGGUGGAUGCUGCUUGAACGAUGGAGGCUGAAGACGCGGAGAUGGGAUGAGCUUCGGAGGGAUUUCCAGGGAAAUGAAAAGCAAAGUGAAAGCACGCGCAAGAGGAGUCGGUGAAUGGCGUGCCGGAGGAGAUUUGGAGAUAAAAGGGACAAAAAGUCAAUAAGGUUAUCUAUCCAAUUUAAUGCUUGUCCCCCAAAAGCACCCAUGUUUAUCCCUCGGUCCUUUACUUCUUUUUAGACAAAUAAAUCCACCAAAUAAUCCCAUUUUGAGCCAGGAAUAUUCAGCCCUCCCACAGCUCCGAAUUUUACAUUUCUGGUCUUCAAUUUCUUCGACAAAAUCCCAAUCCGACGUCCCAUUUCAAUGAAGAAAAAGCCCGUAGAAUUUCUAUAAGUGCCCCUCGUCAAAUAGCUCAACUUGCAAGUCCAAAUUUCCUUCGACUUAGCCAAUCCGAAUUUCCGCAACGUCUGAAUCGAUUUUCCUUAAAAAUCUCGGAAUCUCUGACAAAUCUUUUGAGACUGAGUUGACGUUCCUAGAAUUUAUUGUGACAUAAGAAUCUUCAAUUUCUGAAAUCAGACUCAAAUUAGUGGUUACUUUCACCUUAACACGUUUUUAGCAUGACCUAAGCUACCAUGUAGCUUUCAGAACUUUUUAGGGCAAAUGACCCGUGGUCGAUUUUCUUCGAGCCACAAUGAACCCAGCCGACACAUUGGUGGCUCUCGGUUGUCGUGAAAAUCUCGAGGGUUCAAAUACGGAUACAGGGUACCAAAACAAUAAGAAAAUCAGUCUAGUGUGGACUGACGAGAAUUUUUUCAAUUUAGUGGUGUCACCGACGAUUAGCCACAUAUCUCAAUCGAACCAACCUAUCUCUGAUCUCGAAUCAAUUUAUAUCUUUGCCGUAAUAACUUCUAAAGAUAAAUACGGUCGAGAAGCCGAUUUCCGGUCGAAUUCUCAAGUCUAUUUGCCUUAAAAUUCUUAAUGGCUUUCCCUGAUAGUCUAGUUAUCUCGAGAGUGAAGCUCUGAAAACAACCCUAUAGACACGUCAAUGAAAUGCCUGAUUUAUUCAGUAGAAAACAUGACUGAAAAUCAGGGAUGUCACAACUCUUCCCCUCUUAUAAAAAUUCCGUCCUCGAAAUUUAAACAUUUACCAAUCCUUAAACAAAAAGGUGGGGAUAUCAUCGUCUCAUCUAGUCUCACUUUCCCUGGUUGCUUCUUCAGUCCCGUGGCAUUGUUAGACCACUUUGACCAAGGGGACCUUCUUGAUACACAGAAUCUGAUCUUUCUGAUCCACAAGUUGAACCGAGCUUUUCAUGUACGACGCUCUAUCGUCCACGCCUAAUUCUUCAAGAUUUAGCACGUAGGUCAUGUCAGGCUCAUAUGUCCUCAACAUCGACACGUGAAAGACGUCAUGCACUUGCGUUAACCUCGACGGCAAUGCAAGACGAUACAAUAGGAUCCUGAUUCUUUUCAGAAUUUCAAAGGGAUCUACGUACUUCGAUUUCAGUUUUCCUUCCUUGCUGAAAUGCAAGGUAUCCCUCAUUAGUGACACCUUCAGAAAGGUGUACUCACCAAUUUAGAACUUUUGGGGCCUUCAAUGCUCAAUAAUUCAAUUAUUCUGGUAGUUCUGAGCGGUCUGUACUUUGGCACUGAUCACGGCAAUUGCAACUACUAACUGCUGAACUGACCCUCAGCCUGUGAUCUUUCUUUCUCUGAUCUCAUCUCAACUAAAAUGAAGUUUUGCACACUCUACUCUGUUUUGCCUCAAAAGGAACUAUCUUAUUGAUCUGCUGAAAUUGGGAACCUCGGUUCUAGAUCCGAUAUAAAUUCGUCACUAGUACUCUACACAGACGAACUGUCUGACACACAUACACUUCGGUAUGCCUAUUCCAAUCAAUAUCCUUCCAUACAGUGAUAAAGUGGGCCUACUUUAUCGAUCUGUCGACCACUACCCCAACUAGAGUCAUUAUUCCUUUGACUCCUCAGUGAGUCCAUCACAAAGUCCAUCAUGAUGCGCACUAUUUUCCACUCUGGGGUCUCGAGAGGUCAUAAGAGUCCUCUCGGCUUACAAAGCUGUGCCUUGAUUAUUAUCUAAGCGUCCGACUCAAUUCUGAGAGCGGCUAUAAGAUUUGGAAGGUAGCCCAUCUCAAAUUGAAAACCAAACCUCGAACUUUCAAAAGUAAGGUCCAUUCUUUAACCAACAUAUGUGCAACUGAAGACUCCUAACUUAGCACAUAUGUGACUUAAUUCGCCCUCCCAAGGUGAUACAAAAUAUCACACCCUAGUCUUUCAAAAGUUCUAAUUCACAGUGCUAUCUCACAUUCAAUUCCUUCUAAAAGAAUAAAUACUGGAGACUUUGUUGAUCAGUGAAGGUCCAUAAUCUUUCUCCACACAACUAACGCCUCAAAGUUUUCAGUAUGAAAAACUUAUGUUGCGAGUUCCAAUUCACAUGUCGGGUAGUUCAACUCAUGAGAUCUCAACUAGUAGGACGUGUAUGCAAUACUCCUACCAUGUUGCAUCAGCACGUAACCCAGUCCUCUUAAUGACGCACCACUAUAGAUCUCGUAUCCUCCAAGACUAGAUAGAAUGGUCAGUACAGGUGCGGUAGUCAGCCUCUGUUUAAGCUCUUGGAAACUACGCUUGCACUUGUUUGUCCACACAAACUUUUCUUCCUUCUUUAGCAGUCCAGUCAAAGGGGGGGCUAUUGCUGAAAAUCUCUCCACGAACCUUCUGUAGUAUUUGGCUAAACCCAAAAAGCCUCUAAUCUCUGACACUGACAUUAAUCCGGCCAAUUGAUAACUACUUCAACUUUGAUCGGGUCCACGGAGAUUUCUUCGCCUGAAAUCACUUGGCUUAGGAAAGCAAUAUGAAUCUACCAAAACUCACACUUGCUGAACUUGGUGUAUAAUUCAUGAUCUCAUAGAGUCUCGAGUACUAUCCUCAACUAUCUCUCGUGCUCCUCAAUUAUCGUAUACACGACAGUCGUCAGGUAACCUUGACAACCCCCAUCUAACAAACGUGUUGUCUCUUGUGAUGAGGUUAGGAAAAUCGAAGUCCUCCUCGACUUUUAAUAAAUUCGAAAUUUUCCUCCGUUGACGGAUUAAACUGAAUCACAUUGCAACAACAAUUCAUUACAAUAAAAGCUCCUUAAGACAAACCUAUUUAUAUAUGGUAUCCAAGUUAUACAUAGGCAGAAUAUUCAAGUGUAACCCUAACCUGAAAUUCUCCUUUCUAUGACUUCAUUACAACAACUGAGGUUCUAGAAACUUUAACCAAAAUUCUGUUGCGCCACUCUGAUAAAAUUGUUCUGGGGACACUACCCUUCCUAUCCGGUGCAUAACUCACUUCAUCUCUAAGCUGGCGGCCUAUACAAUCCACCAUGCAGUGCAUCGUGCGGUGCAAUUCCUCGGUUCUAACCCAUCUAUGGGGGUGGCGGUAACUGUUGCAAUCCCAUCUGUCUUUGGGGACAAUCUUUGACCAGGUGGUCGUGCUGGCAACACUCGUAGUAAACUCUUGUCCUAGGAAAGCACGGGGCCGAUCCACGUUGUCUUCCACAAAGGCGACAUACAUCAAUCUGAUUGGGUUCCGACUUUCUAAUUCCACCCUUCUUACUGGGCGGAACAUGAGAUCUACCUCCACGCAUGGGUCUUUUUCCCUGGCAAAUAUUUUCUCUAUGAGAGCUAAACCUCGAUCUAGAUGAGGCAGCUCUCUCGUUCAGAUCCUUCUCAAUUUUCUAGGCUCUCCGAUAUAUGUCGUUGUAAGUCCUUAGUUCCAUAAGGACUAAGGUGCUUCUCGAGUCUGGUCUGAAUCCAUCUUUAAACCUUCUCGCUCAGUUUAUAGGGUUCUCAAUUAGCUCAGGGGCAUACCGCGAAAGUUCAGCGAACUUCGCCUCAUACUCAUCAACGGUUAGGGAACCUUGGCGAAGACGUUGAAAUUCGGUCAUCUUCAUCUCCCUAGCGGUCUCGGAGAAAUACUUAUCAUCGAAGGCUUCAAGGAAAAUGUUCCACUCAUGAACAGUGCCUUCUAGAAAGAUUGUUUCUCGAGUCAUCAUCCACCAAGUGUUCACAACUCCUUCCAGCUGGUAAGUUGCUAAGACUACCUUCUCAGUCUCAUUGCACAUCAGCAGUGCAAACGCUUUCUCAAGCUUCUGAACCCAUGAAGAAGCAGCUUCAAGAUCUCUUGUCCCAGUGAACAACGGUGGGUUCAAUUUCAGGAAUUGCUCUACCAAUUUAUGGAUUGGUCUUGUAGAGACUACAAUCCCCGGUGGACCUUCAACAUUCACUGAGGCGGGAGCAACGGCAGGUGCAACUGCAGGUGCGACAACAGGGGCAGCCUCAACGGCGUCAGCAACAGCGGCGGUAGCAGCGGCUUCAACUGUAGCAACUUGCUGAUCUAUUUUGUUACCCAAGGUUUCAAGUACACGCAUGAUCACAUCGAACCUAGGAUCAUCAAGGGCUACUAGCCCAGCACCAACAGGAGGUGGUGCUUCACCAUUAGCGCUAGCCACAGCUGGCGCUUUACCACGGCCUCCUCGUGCACCGACCCUGGUCGGCGUUCUGCCCUUGAGUCACGGCCCUACUGGCCCUCUUAGCAAGCAUUCUUGGCUCCUGAUCGCUCAUGGUGUCACUUUAAUCUACUAACACUUGUUUCCAAUUCAACUCCGAAUUAGAAACAGAGCGAUUCAAAUGAUCAGCAAUUUUAGCACUCAGCUAACCCAGACAUGCACCAACAUGAAUUUAAAAGCCAUCCUACUACUAUCCCAUGAACCAUCGCUCCUUAUCACUCCAAUCUUGAACUUCGCUUUGAUACCACAAAAGGACAUGUCACCCCUCGAUCCUCAGGCAUGCACACAUCCCUUACAUUUGGUCGAUUUUAAAAGCGAUAUCCCAUGACGUAUUACCGACUUUUUUCAUUUUAAUAUGCACAUGCAGAAGCAAUUAUAAUCCCCAGAUAAUAAAACAAUGGGAUAGAAAAGUAGGGCCAUAUUUUUCAUAUUUAAAUUCACAACCAAACCUUUAUACAACCAUACCUCAAGGUAUUUUACCAUACUAUUCACAAAGGCCUAGUCUCACACUCAACCACCUAUAAACAGGGUUCACAAAGAGGAUGGGAUCAUAGUUCUCAUCCGGGUCAUACUUGGAUCAUCAUCGGGGUUCUCCUCUAGGUACUCCUCUUCGGGUUCUUUCUCCUCAGGCUCCUUAUCAAGGUCCUAAAAUGUUGUCCCACAACCAGGAUGAGAUUACAUCUCAGUAAAUUCUACCCCCUAAGACUCGACUAGUAAACCAAUAUGCUAUCCGAGCUGCCUAUGCAUGCACGGGUCAGAGUGCUUACCUUGGCCUUAGAUUCCACCUGCAUAUUAGCACAAUUCAAUAGGCAUCCAAGCAAUCACAUCACAAAUCGUUAUCACGAUCAAUCGACCUAGUCGAUUACAUAUCAAUCAAACCAUUCACCGGUCAUUUCAAUUCAAUCAAUUAGAUUACGACAUCAGAUCAAAGUAAUGAUCAAUCAACCUAGUCGAUUACAUGUCAGUCGGACCAUUUCUAGGUCAUCUCACUACACACUAUAUAAUCUCCAAUAGUAUACUUAGUCACAAAGCUACAUUAAUGCUCUUGGGCGUUGUUUUCGCCAACGUGAUGUAUAAUAAACACUUUAUGUGCAUGCUCUUAGGCAUUCCAAUUACUUUCAACCACACGGGCACGAUACUUGACACACUGGAAUACGGCCACGCAGGCACGAUCUACGCCACACAGGCAUGUUCUACGCCACACAAGCAUGAUCAAUUAACGCCACACAAGCAUGAUCAAUUAUCGCCACAUAGGCAUGAUCUAUAUUCAACAAUUUACGUGCAUUCUCUAACGCAUCCUAUAUGCCAAAGCGAUGUAAUAAUCGCCGAGCCACGCCACACAACAUUUCCUCUCAUCUUUUAUCAUACCCGAUAAAAUAUCAUGCGUGGGCACAUGGUUGGCCUUAGCCAAAAUAUAAUAUUUUCCUUUCCAUAACUCCCACAUUUUUUGUAGUCUACUCAAAUAUUUUUGGCAUUAUCAACCGAUUCCCGGUUAUUUUUCAAUUAAUAACCAACGAUUAUCCAAUUAAAUGAUAAUUCUCAAUUUCACAAAUAAUUCAAUUCAGCACAAAAUAAAACUCAAUUAAAUAAACGGACUACACCACCACAAUCGGCAUAAAAUUCCGAUCGUUGACUAUCCCUGCCUAAUUUCCAGAAAUUAAUUAAUUAAUUAAUUAAGUUUGAAAAUUAAUAAUUAAAUCUAAAAAUCCAAUUUAGGCCCGUAAUGCCUGAUUGAAGCCCGAUAAGGGUCGGGAAAAAUCCCGAGAUGCAUUCAAUAAAUAAUAGUACGUCUCUACUUGUUAAGGACUAAGUCUAACCACCUAACAUGCAUCAUUAAGUCACUAAUUUAAUUAUCAUAAACUAAUCUAACUAUAUAAUUGCACUUAAUUAAAUCUAAUUAACCCUUAAGCAUAAUUAGCAAACUAAGAAAGCAUUAGUGAGUAAAACUCACUUGAUUAAAAGCGGGAACCGGGACAUCGAGACGGCGACUCAACAGUGGCCAAAAUCGGGCUUUGGACGACACCAGCGGGCUUGGACCGGGCCUUAAACUUGGGCUCAACAAAUCUCAGCCCAACUGAAAUUUCUUCUUGCACUAGACUGGGCUCGCUCUUGGGCUUGCUGCAGCUGGGCUGUUACUUGGGCUUUUCUGUUUUGAAAAUGGGCUGACUUCGUUGUGCUUCGUUGGACUACGCUUCAAGAGGACUGAAACAAAAACCGAACUGGGCCUGUCUUCGAAUGGGCUAGAAAUUCAUGGGCUUGCUGGACUUCAACUUGCUGGGCUGUUGGAUUUGCGUUGGAGGAGUUGGGCCGAUCCACGAGCAAGAGAAGACUGAAGCCGUUGGAUCCAUGGGCUUCGGUCUUCACGUGGGCUGAAGGAAGGAAGCAGCGAGGGAUGCUGGAAUUCCCUAAGGCCAAAGGAACACGUGAGCUGCAGCUGGCGUGCGCUGGGUCUUCGAACUAGCGGUGAGGAGACGCGGUAGGUGGAGUCUUCAAGCAGCUGCCGGUGUGUUCUUCCAAGAACGAAAGAAAUAGGCGCUGGCCUCGUGGAUGAAGGUUGCUCGGUCAACAAAGGGCUUCACUCGGUGGGGGAAAUUGACCGAAUGAAACACAGCUUGGUGGAGGAGUAGGCAAAGAGAGAGAAACUCGGUGGAAGAGCUGCUGCAGGGGAAGACUUCGGUAGAACUCUGGGCUUCGUUGGCAGGCUUGGACACGCGGCAAAGGGAUCAACAAUCUUGUUGAGAUUGACUAAAAUCUCGGUGGGUUGGUCUUCAGUGCAGCUUGCAGGGAGAGAUCGACGGGGGAAAUGGAAGCAGGCUGGGUUGUUGCUGCAUGGAGUUGGCGUGAGGCUUCGAUGGAUGCUUCUUGAACGAUGGAGGCUGAAGACACGGAGAUGGGCUGAGCUUCGGAGGGAUUUCCAGGGAAAUGAAAAGCAAAGUGAAAGCACGCGCAAGAGGAGUCGGUGAAUGGCGUGCCGGAGGAGAUUUGGAGAUAAAAGGGACAAAAAGUCAAUAAGGUUAUCUAUCCAAUUUAAUGCUUGUCCCCCAAAAGCACCCAUGUUUUAUCCCUUGGUCCUUUACUUCUUUUUAGACAAAUAAAUCCACCAAAUAAUCCCAUUUUGAGCCAAGAAUAUUCAGCUCUCCCACAGCUCCGAAUUUUACAUUUUUGGUCUUCAAUUUCUUCGACAAAAUUCCAAUCCGACGUCCCAUUUCAAUGAAGAAAAAGCCCGUAGAAUUUCUACAAGUGCCCCCGUCAAAUAGCUCGGCUUGCAAGUCUAAAUUUCCUUCGACUUAGCCCAUCCAAAUUUCCGCAACGUCUGAAUCGAUUUUCCGUAAAAAUCUUGGAAUCUCUUAAAAAUCUUCUGAGACUGAGUCGACGUUCCUAGAAUUUAUUGUGACAUGAGAGAAUCUCCAAUUUCUGAAAUCGGACUCAAAUUGGCAGUUAAUUUCACUUCGACGCGUUUUUAGCGUGACCUAGGCUACCGAGUAGUUUUCAGAUCUUUUUAGGGCAAAUGACCCAUGGUCGAUUUUCUUCGAGCCACAAUGAACCUACUCGACACAUUGGUGGCUCUCAGUUGUCGUGAAAGUCUCAAGGGUUCAAAUACAGACACAGGGUACCAAAACAAUAAGAAAAUCAGUCUAGUGUCGGCAGACGAGAAUUUUUCCAAUUUAGUGGUGUCACCCACGAUUAGCCACAUAUCUCAAUCGAACCAACCUAUCUCCGAUCUCGAAUCGAUUUAUAUCUAUGCCAUAAUGGCCUCUAAAGAUAAACACGGUCGAGAAAUCGAUUCCUGAUCAAAUUCUCAAGUCUAUUUGCCUUAAAAUUUUUAAUGGCUUUCCCUGAUAGUCUAGUUAUCUCAAGAGUGAUCACCUCUGAGAACAACCCUAUAGACGCGUCAAUGAAAUGCCUGAUUUAUUUAGUAGAAAACAGGACUGAAACUCUGGGAUGUCACAAUAGCCAUACUCGUCGCCACCGUAUCUGAUAAAGACGCACUUCUAAGACUUAACAUCAAGCUUUUUCCUAUCCUCCCUGUCAAUUAAAGCAUAUGCAGUACAACCAAACACCUUUAGAUGUGAAUAAUUAAUCUUUUUACCUUACCACUGUUCUUGUGGUAUUUCUCCAUCCAACGCAUUAGAUGGACUUCUGUUGAUAAGAUAAACAACCGCAUCAACUAUGGUAACCCAUAAGUGUAGCGGGAGACCCGCAUGUAGCCUCAUGCAUCUCACACGUUCUAGAAUAGUCAUGUUCAUCCUUUCAGUUACACCAUUCUCUUGAGGAGUUCUAGGAACAAUUUUUAACCUGUGUAUGCCUUCUCGACUCAACUAUACUACAAAUUCCUUAUUCUUGUAUUCACCACCAUUAUCAGACUUCAGAGUUUUAAUCUGAUAACCUAUCUCUUUUUCUACCAUGGUCUUCCACAUUCUGAACAUCCCGAAUACUUCUGAUUUUUCUCUAAGAGUAUAGACCCAAGUCUUCCGUAUUGCAUCAUCAAUGAAGGUGAAAAAAUAUUUAUUACCGCCAUAAGAGAGUUCCUGAGCAGGUCCCCAUACAUCAGUAUGAACCAACUCUAGCUUCUAGCCUUUAUUUUGUCGUCAAUUCAAUUGAAAACUAACAACCUUAUGUUUUCCAUAAAUGCAACUCUUACAAAAAUCUAACUUAAAUUUUGUAAACCUGGAAGUAAUGUCCUCGAUUGUAACUGUUUUACACAUUUUUCAUCAAGAUGUCCCAAACGAUAAUGCUAAUGAGUAGACAAAUUACUUGUAGCCAUUGUAGUUGCAACCAUAUCACUGAUAUUGUCUCCUUGGAGAAUGUAAAGUGUACCUAUACUGUCACGCCCCGAUCCUCGAGCACGCACACAUCCUUCUACUUGGUUGAUUUUAGAAUGCGAUAUCCCAGGACUAUAUAUCGCUGACCCUUUCAUUUAUUAAGCACAUGCGAAGCAGUUAUAAAUCCCCGGACAAUAAAAUAAUUGGAUAGAAAAGUAGGCCAUAUUUUUUUUCAUAUUGAAAUCCACAGCCAAACCUUUAUACAUGGCAUAACUCAAAGUCUAUUCACAAGAUUGAUCACAUAAAGAUAGGGUUCAUAAAAGAGAUGACAUCUCAAUCCUCAUCUGGAUCAUACUCAAGAUCAUCCCGAUCCUCUUCCGACUCCCCUGAUUCGCUCUCCUCUUCCUUAGGCUCCUCAUCUUCUCCUUCAGGCUCCUCCUUAGCUUCAGGUGCCGGUUCAUCUUCAAGUACCUCUUCUGCUGCACCCCAGUCUUCAUUCUCCUCUGGUCCUUCCACCUCCUGCUCUUCAAUCUCACCACCCUCGUCGUUCCAGUUGUCGUCAUCAACUAAGUACACAGGAGUAUGGGCUUUAGCCACAAGUGCCGGGUCCUGAACAUUAACAACCGACGCAUCCGCGUGAUCUGCUGUACCCUCCCCAAAAGCUUCUUCUAGAACAUACACAGGCACGUCGUUCUCAGGAAUGGGCCCCUCUCUUCGCCCGUCAAAGUACUCACGGUACCAUGACCUAUAAUGAUGGGGCCUCAGGGCGGCUUCUCCUACGUCAACCCAGACGAUUGACUUAACCAGGACAUACUCUAGUCCUUCUGGGUGAGGGUGAAUAUGGUAGUGGAUUUCUAACUCAGUAACCUCUUGGGGAAUACCAAAAUGCAUGGCGGGACAACGAGGUGGAGGAGGUGGAGGUGCUACCAUCUACGGGCCUAAAAUGUUGUCCCACAACCGGGAUAAGACUACGUCUCAGCAAGUUCUACCCCACUAAGACUCGAUUAGGAAACCAAUACGCUAAUCAGGCUACCUAUACACGUACGGGUCGGAGGACUUACCUUGGCCUCAGAUUUCACAUGUAUAUUAGCACAAUUAAAUAGGCACCCAAGCAAUCACAUCACAGAUCGAUAUCUCGAUCAAUCGACCUAGUCGAUUUCAUGUCAAUUGUACCAUUUAUCAGUCAAUUCAGUUCAAUCAAUUAAUUCAUGACAAACGGAUCAAAUCAUAUUGGUGAUUCCAUCUAUACUCGAUAAUUGUUCUCAACAUUCCAAGUCGACAUUCCCACUCAAAAAUAGGUUCAAGGCUCUAGAGGUGAUCCAACACGAAGUAUUGUUAUUGUGCGGUACUUAGUCCUUAACCACAAAUAACAAUAGUAUAAGGCGUUAGAGGUAAUUCACACAAAGUCUCGCCAUCGUGUAGUACUUAGUCCUUCACUACAAAAAGUAAUAGCAUAAGACGCUAGAGGUAACUCACAUGAAACUUACUAUCGUGUAGCACUUACCCCUUCACUAUGCAUGACAAUACUGCAAGGCCCUAGAGGUAGUUCCCAUGCGACUCAGGUCGCCAUGUAACACUUAGCCCUUGACUUCAACAAGCAAUGAUAUAAGGCGCUAGAGGUGACUCACACGAAGUCUUCUACUCGUGUAGUACUUAGUCCUUUACCUGCUCAUGACCCAUUGGUUUCCCUCAACACAACACACACAUCACAUCAACUUCCAAUAAUCAUCUUACUUCAACUAUAAACCAACACGUGAUUAAUCCCUCACGGCCCAAUGACAAUGUGCCUCACACUUAAAUUCCUCAAUUAAAGUAAUUUCUUGGCUUAAUUUCUUCGUAUUAAAAAUACUCGAUAAAAUAUCGUGUGUGGGCACAUGGCUGGCCUUCGCCAAAAUAUAAUAUUUUCCUUUCCAUAACUCUCACUUUUUCUGUAGUCCAUUCAAAUAUUUUUGGCAUUAUCAACCGAUGCCCAAUUAUUUUUCAAGUAAUAACCAAAGAUUAUUCAACUAAAGAAUAAUUCUCAAUUUCACAAAUAAUUCAAUUCGGCACAAAAUAAAGCUCAAUUAAAUAAACGGACUAUGCCACGAUAAUUAGUAUAAAAUUCCAGUCGUUGGUUAUCCCUACCUAAUUUUCAAAAAAUAAAUAAAUAAUUAAAUUAAUUUAAAAAAAUUAAUAAAUAAAUACGAUAAAUCCAAUUUAUGCUCGUAAUGCCUAAUUGGAAGCCAAAUCGAAUCGGGAAAAAUCCCGAGAUGCAUUCAAUAAAUAGUAGACUAUAUCUACUUACUAAUUGCACAAUCAAAAUGUCUAAUAUGCAUCUCAAUUAUCUAAUAAUCACUAAUCUAUUCUAAUCUAACCACCUCAUUGCACUUAAUUAAAUCUAAUCAACCCUUUAAGCAUCAUUAGUCUACUAAGCAAGGAUUAGUGAGAUUACUCACCGGAAUUUAGCACAAAACAUAUCAAUCCGAUGGGGACGACACGAGAGUCGUUUCUUCCCAAAGCAAGUCCCAAGUUCGGGGCCCAAAAACGGCCCAAAACAACCCACGAACCUGCUGGAAACCCACUCGCUGGGUUGCUGUUCUGGGCUAUCCGAGGCUGGUCCGGUGGCUGAGGUGGCGAAACAAGGCUGGUGGAGGGCGAGGGAAGCUCCGGCAAGGCCGAACGGUGGCUGGAGGGGGUCGGGCAGUGCCCUAAGGUGGCCAAACGGGGCUAGACAGAGGCAGCAGGAGCUGGACAAUGACUGAACCAGCGUGAUGGGGAGAGACGGCAGCUCAGUGGUGGUGGCGGACGGCGAAAUGGUGGCGUGCGGUGGAGCAGACGACGGUCCGGCGUGGUUACGGCUCCUUCAGGAGACGUUGGUCGCUGCUUCUGCUUCUGUUGGUCUUUGCACGAAAUAGAGGGGGAGAAGGAGAGCGUCAAUGGUGGCUAAAGGAGGGGUGAGGGAGAGGCGGAGGGCGAGCGGUGACCGGUGGAGCGCACGGGCGACGUGCGAGUGGCGGAGUGUGGGCAGCGACGGUGAGCUGCUCCGAUUUUCUUCCCUCGAUGCCGAUGUUCUGCUUCUGCUUCUGUCUUCAUUCGAACAAGAGGGGGAGAGAGAGUGUCAAGUGAGAGAGAAAAAGAGAGAUAAGAGUGUUUGACUAGUCAAAAGUAAAAUGGAGAGAGAGAAGCAAAGUGGAAACCGGUAAGGAGGGGAGUCAGUGGAGGGGAAUUCGCACGAGAGAGAGAGAGAGAGAGAGAGAGAGAAAGGGGAAAGGGGGUGAAUCAUUCGAAAGGGGGGGGGGGGAAGAUCACGUGGGGAAAGAGGAGAGAGAAAAGAGGGAGAGAGAAAAGAAAUAGAAAAUAAUAAAAUAAUAAGAUAAUCACAUUAUUCUUAUAACUAUUAUUAUUUUCCCUUUUUCUUUCCCUUUUUAUUUUCUUCCGGUCUUCGAUUUUUCCUCCGAUAAUUUCUUUCCCGAAAUUUCGGGCUCGUCAAUAAUUUGACAAACGAUGAGACGAGGUCCUAAAAAUGAAUUAUGACACGCUCGAAUAUUCGAUUCCCGAAAUCGAAUUCAAUUUCGUGGUUAGAAUCGAUUAAACGCAAUUUUCGUCCAAUCCAACCAAUUAAGUAGCUUUUAGGGAUUUUACCGCGGAUACAUCCCUUAACGGCUUCACCCAAUAGGUUAGUUAACUUGUGAGUGAUCAGCUCAGAAAAAAAGGACUAUAGGCACGUCGACGAAAUGCCCAUUUCACUUUAUCGAAACGGGGUCGAAUUUCAAGAUGUCACAUGUAUGCUUUCCCUUUGCUACUACUCAUACCCCUGAAGUUAUCUUCCACUCUCCGCAUCCAAAGGUUGUUACCAAACCUUCUUAGUCAAGUUUACUGGUUAAAAUCAGAUUUUUCUUUAAUUCCGGAAUAUGCCUAGUUUCACGCAAAACUAGACGUCCUCCACCUGAGAUGUUCACAGUCACAUUUCCUUUCCCAACAAUGGGACACAUGUGGCCGUUUCCUACAACCACUUGUCUGAAAUCUCCACUAGCAUAAUCAUUAAAUGCAUCUCUUUGCGAGGUGUAAUAAAAAGAAGCACCAUAAUCAAUAAACUAUUUAUCUGUUGUCAAGUCAAACCCUGCAGACAAACACAAGUUAUCUAACAAAGAUUCAUCGCUAAUCACAUUAGCUCCUUGAUUCUCAUGUUGCUGCUUCUUUUUGUAGGCUUCACUCUAAAACCUUCAGCGUCCGAUUUUGUGACAAAACUAACAUUCAUCUUUUGCAACCUGUCUCUUACCCCUUGAUUGUAAUCUGCCACGCCCGCUGAAUUUUCCUCUACUUUUACUUUUUCCACGGUUCUCUACUGCUAGUGCCAUUGAAGAUGUAGAUGUCGAAAAAUUAUCUCCACCUAAGACUUUCCUCCGCAUCUCAUCAUCCAUGAUACUACUCACAGCAUCAUCAAGAGUUAAAUCAUCCGUCAUGGUGCUCGAAAUUCCCUACACUGCGGUAUUAUAGCUUUCUAGAAGAGAACAUAAAAAUAAUAAAACUUGAAGCUUCAUAUCUAAAUUUAUGCCUACGGAUUCCAAUUGACCCAUGACCUGUGUGAAACUAUUAAUAUGCUCUACCACAAAACCUCUAUCAGAUAACUUCAUAUUAACCAGUUUCCUCAGCAAAAAUACCUGAUUUGAUGUUGACGGCUUUUCAUAAAUAUUCGUUUAAAUAUCCAUAGCUUAUUUUACAGUUUUUGCUUUCGUGAUGUGAUACCUUGUCUUUUUUGUCAACCCUAGAUAAGUUGCACCUAAUGCCUUUCGAUCAAGAAUUUUCCAUCCGACUUCUGUUGUUGGAUCCACUUCCGCCAUCUCGGGUUUCCAACCCUCAAGUGGUGAAUAGAGAUCUUUUUUAUAAAGAUAAUCCUCAAUUUGUAGUUUCCACCAUCCGAAAUCUUGCCCAUCGAACUUAUCGAUUUUGAUUUUAUCUUCUGCCAUACUAUUUGCUUUCAAUCGAACGUCACCGAAAAACCCUCAAUGUUCUCGAUCAACCAACCCAGGCUCUGAUACCAGUUAUUACAAAAUCGCACGUUGAUUCUAGAAAAAUAACGCUCGCAAACAAUUCACCAAGCAAAAUAUAAUAAUAAAGGAAUAGAAUCAGAAGAACACGCCAGAAGAUAAUUUUUAUAAUAAAAAAACAAAAACUGUAAGCGUCGAGACUCCAUUUUUAUUUCCUUUUUGGCUCCAUUAACACCCGAAAACAUUCUGUUAAAAAAAAAAAAACUCCCGAAAACAUGAGAGUACCACCAAAUAAGAAGUCCAUUUUAUGAUAUGAAAUAGAGAAAAAGGAUAUCAAUAAAUUUACAAUUACCAUUUUCGAAACUACAUCUCUGCUUUUCUUGCUUUCCUUUCGCUUAGUCUGUCGAGCCUUAGUCUUGUUGCUUCUUUACUCUAUCAAUAUGACCGAUUUAUUGGCGACUCCAUUUUGAUGUGGGACGCCCUUUAUGUUGAGUGAUAAGUUGAAAUGCAGAAUAUCGACCUAAUUUUUCAGGAACGUUUUUCAGGAUAUGCCGUAAGCACCAUGGAUGCUUAGGACCAGGGAACCGAUGCUCAACUGCAUUUUGCAUUGCCUUGUCCUAGUCUGUGAUAGCAGCGAAUGGUGCCCGUCCUCCCAUCCGAAAGAGACAAUGAUUUGAACAACCAAACGAAUGUGUUAGUAUCCUCAUUCACACUCAUGAAAGGGGCGAAAGGCAUUUCAUAUUGAUUGGUCAAAUAUAUAGUAUCAAAGGUUACUACUUCAUCAAAACUUUCAUAUAAUGCCCAAGUUCUUGCACUUGCCAAGGAAACAUUCUUUAACCUGGGACUAUCAUCCAGCUCCAUCACAUAGAAAAAAGGUCAUUUCUAUUUUGCAUCCUAACAAACAGUUAUGAUUGGCUUCGCCAUCUUCAGUUCCAAGUCUUAACUUUCUUUGCCUUCUCACCGAAGGUAAGAUUUUCAUUCCCUCCUGCCUCAACAACAGACAAGUUAAAGUUUGUUGAUCCUUAUACUAGCUGUAGAUACAUAGACUUUAUCCACGAAGAGAACAUGCAAGAGUUAAGUAUUUUACCUUAUCAUCAUCUGCAUUUUUCUAGCUCCUCCUAGACACACCCAAUCCCACUUGUUUAUGCAUCUUUUAUCGUUCUCUAAUAGAUUCUCCACAGAAUAAAAUAACUCUCAUUCCCUCGGUUUUAAUCACAUUUUCUUCGUCGAUUUGAUUUUAUUUUGUUUCAUCACCAGUAGCUUCUGUUUCACAUUCUUCUUUAUCAAAUAGUGUGUCAUCAUUCUACACUUGUAAUGUUGACAUGAAAUCUUCUCAUGUUUGGUAAAAUUAUAGAAAGCAAAAAAUUCAGUAUGACAAUUAAUUAGAAAUAUAGAUAGACAGAAAAUUAUAAUCCGCGAUUUUUCCAAAUAAGAUAUGAUGCAAUAGUAGUUUAUUCGUACAAUCCUAAACUGACUCUGUAGCUAAUCUAUUAUAACAACUUGUGCAUUCUGAAAAUAGAAGCAUAUGGCGCACGAACUAUAUGCAGAUCAAAGUCCUUUAACUACGUCUUCUAUUUAAUCAAAAUAUUUGGUGGAUGGAGGAGACAAAAGAGGUACGACCCAUCUCAGGCAAGCACAAAUUAUAGACAUAGAGAAACAAUAGUCAAAACGCAUAAGAUACAACACAAAAUGACAAAACCUAAUACAUAUUCAAUCAAAAGCAUGCUCCUGAAUCUUAAAAACCAGAAAAUUGUGUUCCAAAAAAUUCAAGAGUUCAAGACUUUUUAUAUAUUAAAGCAAUCCAUGACGUCCAUGUGUAGUAGAUAAUUGGAUUGAUAUUUUCUAUUUCGUUGGAGAGUACAAGACGUUUCAAAUCAGAUAAUUGGAUAAUUUUCACCAUUAGAUAGAUAGAUAGAUGCUCUGCAAAAAGUAGAUUUACAGAAAUUUAUAAAUGAAUUCCUCUGAAAUGUAAUUUUUUAUUUAGCUGAUGCUAUUUACGAAUUUCUUCCAUAUUUGUUAUGGCAUUGAAAUUUAUAUUUAAAUUAGUCUUUUCUAUUCAACAAGUUUUUGACCUCUUGACAUCAAAUUUUCCGAAGCAUGGCCAACGUAUGUCCCUCAUAUGACUCUUAAAGAUCCAAUUAUAACAUGAACAUACAAUUAUCUCAUGUUCAAGUAUAUUUGGACCAAUGAAUCAUGAAAAAAAAAAAAAAAAGUCAACUUGUUCAAAAUAUUUGAACUAAAACUAAGGAUUACGCCACGUAAAAUAAACUUUUGCGACCUCCUUGGACCCUCCCGCAGCUGUGGAGGCUAAUGACCUACUAAGUCUAGAUUUAAUUUGGGCUCUCUCAAGCUCAUCAAUUCGCGAUUUAUGGUCUAAGUUUUUAACAUGCAAAUCAUUUUUAUUUAUUAGUCGCUACUAAUAAGUUUGUGGUGGAUCAAUUAGAAACCAAAUAAAAUAUUAAGAGAAAUAUUUUACUUUUGCGCAACAAAAAAAAAAAAAUAGGAUUUGGGACUUGAUUGUAUUAGUUAGUUAAUUAAUACUCUUUCAAAACCUAACCUUAUUUAAACCUUAGGUUUGAAUUUUUUUUUUUUUUUUGUGAAGGAUAUUUCUUGCAUUUUAAAGAGAAUAACCUUUUUUUAAAAUUUUCCUAAUUUGAGAAUUUUUUCCGAAAUUCUUUUGAAAUUUUUUCUUUUUUAGAUAUUUUUUUAAAAUAUAUAUGUUUUCAUAGUUUGUUAUUCCGAAAUUGGGACUCGGGCUUGGCCUUUGAGCCCAGUCCGAAUGUGGGCUGCCGCUGGUCUUCAGGUUGGGAGGCCUCACCCAUUAAGAGGCUUUUAAAAAACGAACUGGGCUCAAUCUUAUAGAAUUAAGCCCAACUCCAACAAACCGAGCUCGACCCAAAGCUAAUAUAAUGAGCCCAAGCCAGUUAGACGUGCGACCCGAGACCGACCCCGACCCAACCCAUGCCGACCCGACUAGUUGCCCCUCGCGUUUCCCUGCUCCCACGCAACGCCGACGAGGAUGGCAAUGGCGACGCCGCUCGUCUCGGCUUGGCGGCACGCUUACUCCGCCGUCGCCUCGGCCAGACGAAGCUGAGGGCUCGGCUUCCGCCUGGGUCCCCGUUUCCCGGCCGGACCCGACACCGCCGGCCGAGGGGCUCCUCCCUCUCGGACAUGCGCGAAAACGGUAGAGUGGGCGGCGGGGACGCGUCGAAACGGCCAAACGGCCGACGCCCACAAGCGCCAAACGUCGUCGAGGCGUCUCGACCGGCCGAGAUGGUGUCCGAACAACUCGAUACCGUCCAAAAUAAACAGGCAAGAACUAGGUCUAUCUCGGGCAUUCCGUAGAACGAGCACGCUGCUGAAACAUCGGGUUUUGGCUCCAUCGGGACUCAAACCAAAGGCUGAAGCUUUCGCCGAGCAAACAACAACACCACAGCAGCCAAAAGAGGGAGAGAUGGGGCCGGUCUUCGCAUGAGCCGGGCGGCCGCGAGCUCCGGCCCGACGUACCCAAAACAGGGCAAAAACUGGGCUGGCUUACUGGAGCUGGUUUGAGGACGUCGGCGAGGAUCGGCGGGCGGCGUAGGGCGCGGUGGCUACCGGCGAAACUCCCCACUCUCGCCCUCAUUCUUCGCUUUCUCGAUCUCGAUCUCCCUCUCUCUCGGAUCCCUCUCUCUCAUCCCCGCGGAUCUCACCUUUGGGCCCCUCCUCUUAUAGGGCCCAGACGUCUCGUGAGGGAAGGAAGAAGAGAAGGAGAGAAGGGAGAGAAAAGGGCCGGGCGGAGGAAAGAAAUGGGGCUGGGGUCAGGCCCCGCCCCCGAGUCCCUUUACGUCUUUCUAAUUUUUUAAAAUAAUGAUUUGAAAAUUUUUGAAUUUUUAAAUUUUUAUCUGAAAUGUAGUAAAAUAAAGGGAAAAUAAAUAGAUAAAUAAACUUUAGUUGAUGCAAAUAGUAUUAAUAACUGUGUGACGUAAAAAUCUUUUCUUGUCAUGGCCAAAUCGAUUUCUAAUUUUCUAUACAAUUUAAUCAUAAAUAUUUAACCAAAAUUUAGGUGUCUAAAAAAACUUGUUCAAUUUUUCAGCUAUUUAAUCAGCAUCAAUAGAAAAAAAAGGAUUGUUAAUGCAAGUAGCCUUUAUCCCUUCAUGUUCUGAAGAUCCAUUUUUAGGAAGGAGUUAAAAAAAAAAUUCCCAUGUAAAAGCGAGCUUAAAAUGAUUUAAAAAAUUCAGUUUAUUGUGGUUUAUGAACACAUUUUUCUAGGAAACAUUUUAAAAAUUCUUUAGAAUAUUCAUGAAAUGACCGAGUGACAUAUGAUUAAGUGUAUUGAUGCUUGUUAUAAAAAAUAAUUUUUGAUGAUGCAUAAUUUCCUCAAAGAAGGCCAGAAAUUUCUGUGGUCUCUAAUUCCUAAGCAGAAGAACACUCCGAACCUUCUGUUAGUUUUUCGUCUUUGUCUACCAGUGAGAUGGAAACGUACUUGGGGAUAAAUUACUCCAUAUACAUUAAUAAAGUUGGCAAAGACAAUGUCCAUACUUUGAAAUGGUGGAAGAGGGAAGCGACUAGUUUUUUGAUUUCUAAUCGCACCAGCAUUUAUGAGCCCAUGUUUAAAACUAGCUAACAGAUCUUGGAAGACAAAAGGUGGAGGUGGAAAAUUUAGAAAUUUUUUUGGCUGGACACGAUUGGUUUGUGCAAUAACUGACUCUAGAGGAAUGUACCCAAUAUGAACUGGAGGACAACAAUGAGAUUGUAUCAUCUGAAUUAAGGUGGAGGACAAGACAUGAAGAUACCUAAUUUAUUAGAUAUUCUCUUUGGUGUAAUUUGUGUGUAGUUGUUAUAAGGGCACCAUUACAUGUAAUUUUCUUUUUUAAAUUACUUGAAGAUGUACUUGUAUUUCAAUUUGGUUUAAUUAAAUGAGUGCUUUUUUUUAUUAUAAAAUUUUCUAAAUUAAUUUUUUAAUUUGAAAAAAAUACUUUGGUUUUUUUGAAUUUUUCAUUCAAAGAAAUAAAAUUAAUUUAGAAAAAGAAAUGGGUCCAGACCAACCGAGCCGAGAACAGCCCUUCGGCCCCUCCUAGCCGGCACCGCAGAAGGACUAGCACUUUGUUCCACCAGGCCUUUGGCCGUAAGGUUUUUGCAGUUGACUUUGUUCAUGCUCCUUAGGACUCGUGGGGUAGGCAACUUUGUUGGGGAUAACUGCAGUAAUGAAUAUCACACAUGGGCGGCAUGGCAGCUAAAAUUUCAUCAAGAUCAAAAAUUUCAAGUGGCUUAAUUGCCUUGGCAAUCCAAGUGAUUCUUCGUUCUCUACCACUAGUGCACAUGCAACACGUCUCCUCGUAUGCUUUUGUUAAUCCAGACAAGGAUGUUAACACAACUUCUUCCUUAUCAAUUAUUAAUGGUGCAACUGUAAUCUAUACACCAUCCUUCUCGAAGGAGUAAGUGUAUCCAUGUCCAUCAUGAAUAGUUCAAUGUUAAUAUUGCCACAAUAGUCUAAGUAGGGCACACAUCCAUUGAAAUCACAUUAUACCAUAGUUUGCUGCGAUAUUUAUUUGCAAUAGUAAAUUGAAUUAAUGAAGUUGAAGACCUUUCAUUCAUUCUCCUCCCUUAACUAUUGUGAUCUGUCAGGGUGGGGAUGAUCUUUCAUUGGCAACUUCAACUUCUCGACCAUUAUAGCCGCUACAACAUUCUUUCAACCUCCUCCAUCCAUAAUACAAUCACAAGUCUUGCCAUGUGAUGUGCACUUUGCAUGGAAAACAUUGUGGUGCCCUGAGUUGGUCACCUCUCUCUUACUUGUCUUUCUCUUUCAAGCCAGCAUAGAUCGCCUCCUUCACUGACAUAGUCAUACACGCAUCUAUCUCUAUCUCUCCCCUUGCAAGCGCAUACGAAUCACAAAUUAUAAUAAAAUUUCACAAACUUAUUAAUAGAAAAAUAAUCCGUGAUUUGCAGGAAAAAAAGUCAUUAAGUUUAAUUUUCGGAUUUUACACCAAAAUCCACACAAUUUCACUGAUAAGAGCAAACUGUUGAACAUGAAUUUAGUGGGUUAACAUUUAGGAUCCUUAUCAUCUCACCGAAUAUCUAGAAUUGAUGGAAGAGAGAGUGAUGAUCAAGCUCCUUGUGAUAUUGGACGACUACGUUUGAUUCGGCUUUUCCAAGUAGCUUUGGAGAAAGCAAUUUAGCCUAAAGGGUUUUGAAAAAAUGCAAAAACUAUUUAAUAAACUCUGCUUUAAGAAGCAAUUUUGAGACAAUUGUUGCUUGGUAAAAAAACACAUUUGAAAAGCCCAUUUGAAUGAUUAAUUUAAAAUUUAAAAUUUUUAUUUAUUUAAAAGUGAAAACAUUAAUGUUCUCAACUUUUUUAAUUUAAUUUGACGACAAUGUUGAAGAUAUAAUGUAAACAAUUUUUUUAGAAAAAUAAAAUUUGUUUGUUUUGGCUAAAAAAAAUUCAAAUGGAAAAAUUUACAUCAAAAUGGUCUAUUUCUCAAUUAAAAAAAGAAUACUUUCAUUGCAAUAAACAUAUUAAAAUAUGUCCCAAGAAAAGAAAUUUAUUAUCCUUAAAAAUUAGAAAUAUACUUAAAUAUUUCAUAAACUCAUAGCUAUUUAAUCAUAUAAAUGUGCCAUGUCAAAAGUUGCAUCAUUAUUUGGAGCAUUACCCUCCUCAUUUACAUGGGAGAAUUACAAAAAAAAUCCUAAACCUAUUGCAAUUGUGCCAAUUCAGUCUUAAUUUUUUUUUUUGUCAUUUUAGUCCUAAACAUUUUAUAAUUGCACCAAUUUAGUCUAUCCGGCCAAAAUUGGCUGGUCGGUGCUAACGUGGAUGCCGGCCGUCCGGCGAAAGCUAACAUGGUAAUAUUUUAAUAGUUUUUUUUUGAAUUUUUAUAUAUUUUUUGAAUUUUUGAAUUCUUUUUUUCUAUCUUCUCCUUCCUUUGGCCAGCGAGGUCGGCCUUGCCAUCGCUGGACGAGGCCCUGCCAGAUCUAGCGAGGCUUGGCCUCGCCUAGCCAUGGCGAGGGCCGAGCUCGUUGGCACCGGCGAGGCUUGACCUCGCUAGAUCAAACGGCCCAACAGAGCCCUUGCGAUGAUUCAACGGGCUGUCAAACCCUCAUAANNNNNNNNNNNNNNNNNNNNNNNNNNNNNNNNNNNNNNNNNNNNNNNNNNNNNNNNNNNNNNNNNNNNNNNNNNNNNNNNNNNNNNNNNNNNNNNNNNNNNNNNNNNNNNNNNNNNNNNNNNNNNNNNNNNNNNNNNNNNNNNNNNNNNNNNNNNNNNNNNNNNNNNNNNNNNNNNNNNNNNNNNNNNNNNNNNNNNNNNNNNNNNNNNNNNNNNNNNNNNNNNNNNNNNNNNNNNNNNNNNNNNNNNNNNNNNNNNNNNNNNNNNNNNNNNNNNNNNNNNNNNNNNNNNNNNNNNNNNNNNNNNNNNNNNNNNNNNNNNNNNNNNNNNNNNNNNNNNNNNNNNNNNNNNNNNNNNNNNNNNNNNNNNNNNNNNNNNNNNNNNNNNNNNNNNNNNNNNNNAACUAGCCAAUUUUGGCUGGAUGGACUAAAUUACACCAAUUGUAAAAAGAUUAGGACUAAAUGGCCCAAAAAAAAAGUUUAGACUGAAUGUGCAUUACAUAGAUUUAUGACUUUUUUGGUAAUUCUCCCCAUUUACAUCAUCAACAAUUGUGCACCUUACUUUGGCAAGUGAAUUCCAAUUCGUAUGAAAUUCUAAUGGAAUAAUAGGAAUUACGAGAAUUUGUAUCUGUCAAUUUUCAUUGAGUAGGCACAUAACCAAACUUUCCCAAUUUUUUGUUUGUAUCCAAGUUCAUGGCACCACUUUGCCACAAGAAACAAUCUAUGUAGCUGAAGCAAAAUUAAAAUGAAUUUGCAGAUGUCUCUCAAGUCAUCAUCUCAAACGAUCCUUACCCAACCGAAAUAAUGAACAUGAACCAAAAUAAGCUUUCAUUAUGUGUUAUCACAAGAAGAGCAAAAAUGCACACUUGUUUUCAGUGACUUCUCAACAUAUUACAACCAUUACCUAUGGACAACAACAAAUGAUAAAUUUAUCCUUGUAGCUGCCCUAAAAGAAAGGCAAACAUUUGCUUGCUGCUUCUUGUUAGCCUCAUAUCAUGGACAAACAAAAAACCAUUCACGUUGAUGAAAGCGAAGUAGCUUGUGCAUCAAAUUCAAGAGCAUCUGUACCAUGUGCUGCAAAGAGAUCAACUUGAACCUCAAGCUCAUGAACAUAUUGUGCGGAACAUGUCCAAAUGACAAUAGUUUAUCAUUGCUGGCAAUCAACUAGAGACUUCGCUGGAGUUCCUCUUGCUCGAGUCUUGUAAAUCAUCAUAGUUAGGCUGCUCACAAAGGCACAUCAAAGGAUUUGUGCAGAAGUAAUCCUCCUCCUUGGGCGUAUCAACAAUAACUCUAUAACUCUAUGAUGACUUGGCUGUGACAUCUUCUCAUGUGCCAGACGUACAGCAACUUCAAAAUUAUCAUGUGAAAGUGUCCCAUACUGAUGCAAAUCCAGUAAAGCCACAAGCCUUUUACGAUCUAAGAGAAUGGUUCUCUUAAAUCCAAGAUACCUACAAAAAAUGUCAUAGUUUGCACACAGCUUUUUGAAGGAAAAUAGGAUAUGCCUAAUUAAUUUGGCUUGUUCUUCCAAGGGAAAUAAUGGAAGAACAUCAAUCAAGUUAACACACAAAUAAGCAAUCUCAAAGGUCCUAAGAUAGGAUUGCAAUCAACAAUUAACCAAUCAGUUAACAUCCCCUUCUCACAUUCAAUUAGGACAGAUCCACUAUAAUCGACAAUUGACCAUAUGUGAUCUCUUAGUGUAUACUCAAAACAGGACAAACAAAAAUCAAUUCUUUGUUGCAACCUGUAAAAAGACAUACAAGAAUCAGGUUGGUGACAGGAAAAAAAACCCGUCAUGAGCAGCACUAGUGGUGCUUCAGAAGAUUUCCAUUUAGUGCAUGUGAUUUUUUCAGGCUUCAAUGAGAUUGAUAUUUAGCAGGUUUGACACCACUAGUUUGGCAUUUAACGCAUUGAUAUAAUAGUGUUCUAAUGAACUCGUAGGCUGUGAUUUUUUCAGGCUUCAAUGAGAUUGAUAUUCAACAGGUUUGACACCACUAGUUCGGCAUUUAACGCAUUGAUAUAAUAGUGUUCUAAUGAACUCGUAGGCUGUCAACAUGAAGCCAUAGCUGAAAUUCACCCACGAUUUCAAAUUCGAUCACCACACCAGCAUAAUAAUCAAACGUGCAGACAACACAAGUCACAGACUGCAUAAACAAAACCCCAAUUAAAAAAGCAAUCGAACAUUAAAUACAUAGAGCACGAGACACGAGCCAGCAAUCAACAGCCAAGCAUCUGGAAUUAACGAAACAAAUGACAACUGCGAAUUACCUGCGGCAUGUUGGAGUAGCAACAAUGGCGAGUUCGCUGGCAGAAAGUGCCUGGUCAGCCAUUGCUCCGUCAACUUGAACUAAUCGAAUUCUCUCUGGUUGCCUCUGUCAUCAACCUCUCCGACAAUCAUCACCACCUCGAUCACCGUGACAAGAACCAUCAGGCAAAGGAGAGACGAAGAAGAAGCCGUCGGAGAGAGACACUGAGAUAGAGAGUGAAGCGGGCGCAACAGAUUCGCAUAAUGCACGGGGUAGAUCUAGGGCGAGCAAAUUGAAAAGGGUGAGCAAAGCGGAGCGAACGAAGUGCAAGGUCGAGCAGAGAGCGAGCGGAGCGAAGAAGGCAGUGUUUGUAGAUCUAGGGUUUUAAUUCUUUCAAAAGGGAGCAAAUUUGAAUUUUAAGUUAGGUUUCGAGGGCAACAUAGGCAAUUCACUAAUUUUCAUUAAAUCAGCUCUUCAACCUUCCGAAAAUGCUAAAAUUCAAAGCAAAUUCCCACUUAUUUUGAGUUUUCAACAUUCUUAAAUGCUAGAUUUUCACUUGAAAACUCAUUGGAGAUGGUUGCUAAAUAUCUCAACAUUUCCUCUAAGAGAUUUUGGAGGCCGAAAGUCCGUUGAAAAAGCUAAACCAAAUACACCAAACAUAUAUUUUAGAUAAUUAGCUAUAAAUGGCUUAUUAUCUUUCAAAUGACAACUCUCAGUUCCUUUGUGACAUCCCGAUUUUUCCAAUUCUAUUUUCAAUAAAUUGAUACGAGCAUUUCGUUGGCACGCAUAUAGUUCUUUUCCUUGAGUCGGCCACUCAUGUGGAAACUAGUCUAUCGGGUGAAGCUAUUAAGAGUUUCUAAUGCAUCAGACUCGAGAAUUUGACGAGGAAGCGAUCUUUCGACCGAGUUAAUCUACAAGGGUCAUUACGGCACAAUUAAAAUCGAUUAGAGAUCGGAGAUAGGUCGACUCGAUAGAGGCAUGUAAUCAGGUGUGGGUGAUUCCACCAGAUCGCAAAAUUUGUGUCGAUCGGCACUGGACCGACUUUUCUAUCGAUUAGGUACCCUGUGUUCGUAUUUGAAACCUUGAGAUUACCCCGACAACCGAAAGUCGCCGAUGUUUCAAAGAUGUACAUUGUGGCUUGAGAUGAUCAACCACAGGUCAAAUGCAUGAAAAUUUCUAAAUGCUACCCGGUAGGUUGGGCCGCGCUAGUAUCGUGCCAAAGUGAAAUUAACCGUGGAAUUGAGAUCGAAUUCAGAAAUUGGAAGUCUGGGUGUGUCACAAAUUAUUUCAGGAUCAUUGAAUCAUCUUUGGAAGAUUUUUUCAUGCAAUCAGAGUUUUUCAGCAAUUAAAUCAGAGAAUGGCUAAUUUGGCUCGAGAAAUUAGUAGGCUCGUCAUUGGCCGUGCUUAUGGGACUUAAGUUGAUUCUAUGGACAAGUGAAGAUGUGAAUUGAAGUGUGGUGAUGUUGGAUUAAUUUUAUGAUCUUCAAUUUGAUUCAAUUGGAAGAGAAUCAAGUGGAAUUAAAGAAUUGGUUGUACAAAUUUUUAUGCCCCGGCGGAAAAUGAGAUUGCAACCAUUGGAAAAGGUUGUGGGGGAUUGGGUGAGUGGAGUGUGAUGUCACCCAUGAGGUCAUGUGGUGGGCCAAUUUGUUGGAUUAAAGAAAAGGGAAAAAGGAAAAGAAAUUGGCCUCCCUUCUUCUCUCUCCUCCCUCUCUUCUUCCUCUCCCGUGCGAUUCCUCCAUGGACGUUUUCCUUCUUCUUCCUUGGACGCCACCAGCAGCUCGCCGCCCGCCCGCCUGCACACCAUCGUCGCCGUCGCGGUCGCCGCUCGCUGCCGCCGCCCCGCGCGUCUCCGCCCGCUCACCGUCGCAGCCCCGCGAGCUGCUCCGCCCAGCCGCCUCCGUUUGCUGCUCGGGAUCUCAGAUCUGGUCGGACGGCGAGCAGAAACCAGCAGCUCCACCUAUCGCCGUUCGCCGCCGUCGCACGCCGUCCUCGCCCUGCGUCGCCUCACUGCCGUGCUGCCGUCCGUCUCCCUCUCGCUCGCUCGAAUGCCGUCCGCCCCGUCCAGUUGAGCUAUCGUCGCUACCCAGCCCUGUUCGGCCAGCCAAGGCCGCGAAUCAGCCGCCGUGAGCCGCCGUGCUCCCCUGCCGGAGCUUCGCCUUGCCUCCGCCGCCCUUGGCCGCCUCAACCGGCGCCGGAUCCGCCCAUUCUCGGCCUCAAACCGCCAUGGACAGUAGCUGCAGAAAAUGGGUAUGGCAGCCCCUUCUUGGCCCGUUUUGGCCGCCUUCCCGAGCCCGGAUGCUCGGCCCGCUUUGAGGAAAGUCGAUCCUCGCGUCGUCCCCGUCGUUUUGGUUCGCUCGGCUCGCUAAUCCGGUGAAUUUAGCUCACUAAACCUCGCUUAGAGGGUUAAUUAUGCUUUAGGUGUGCUUAGCUUAAGUUGAUUAAGCUUAGGUGGUUAAUUUAGUUGAUUUAAUUAUGAUUUAGAUUAAGAUGUUUGUUUAAUCUAAAGUAUGUUUAAUUAAAUGCUAAGAGAGUUUAUUUAAAGUUAAGUGGGUGUUUAUAUUAAUAUAAACAUUGAUGUGACAUAAAUGAAUUUACUUUUGAUUUAUUUAAAGGUCUCGAAAUUAUCUUAUAAUUUAAUAAUAUAUUUUAUUCGAAAUUAAUAAAAUAGUAUUAUUUAAUUAUUUUCGGAAUAAAUUAAAUUAUUUGUUAAAUUCCGAAAAUUUUGUCGAGACCUUAAAUUCUCAGAAUUUCGUGCCGGUCGUUGCUGUGUAGUCGGAUUUUGAAAUUGAUGAUUUGAUAUUAUAAAUUGAGUGUGGAUUUCGAAAACUAUGGAUAUUAUUAUUUAAUUAAUUUUCGGAAUAAAUUUAAUUAUCUAUUAAAUUCCGAAAAUUUUCAUUGGGACCUUAGGGCGCGUUUGGUUGUGUUUCUGUUUAAAAAUUGUUCCAGGGAACAGAAAUAGAAAAAAGUAUUUCUGUUCCGGAGAACAAUUUUUGAACAAAAAUACGCGUUUGGUAAACUUGUUCCGGGAAUAAAAAAUAAACAGAAACAUGUUUGGUAAAUUUGGAUAAUUUUUUUAUUUCUUUUAUUUUUUCUAAUUUUUUUUCUUUUUUUUCCUUUUUUCCUUUUUUCUUUUUCAUUUUUANNNNNNNNNNNNNNNNNNNNNNNNNNNNNNNNNNNNNNNNNNNNNNNNNNNNNNNNNNNNNNNNNNNNNNNNNNNNNNNNNNNNNNNNNNNNNNNNNNNNNNNNNNNNNNNNNNNNNNNNNNNNNNNNNNNNNNNNNNNNNNNNNNNNNNNNNNNNNNNNNNNNNNNNNNNNNNNNNNNNNNNNNNNNNNNNNNNNNNNNNNNNNNNNNNNNNNNNNNNNNNNNNNNNNNNNNNNNNNNNNNNNNNNNNNNNNNNNNNNNNNNNNNNNNNNNNNNNNNNNNNNNNNNNNNNNNNNNNNNNNNNNNNNNNNNNNNNNNNNNNNNNNNNNNNNNNNNNNNNNNNNNNNNNNNNNNNNNNNNNNNNNNNNNNNNNNNNNNNNNNNNNNNNNNNNNNNNNNNNNNNNNNNNNNNNNNNNNNNNNNNNNNNNNNNNNNNNNNNNNNNNNNNNNNNNNNNNNNNNNNNNNNNNNNNNNNNNNNNNNNNNNNNNNNNNNNNNNNNNNNNNNNNNNNNNNNNNNNNNNNNNNNNNNNNNNNNNNNNNNNNNNNNNNNNNNNNNNNNNNNNNNNNNNNNNNNNNNNNNNNNNNNNNNNNNNNNNNNNNNNNNNNNNNNNNNNNNNNNNNNNNNNNNNNNNNNNUUUUUGUCCUGGGAACAAAGAACCAAAAAAGGAACAGAAACGCACACAAACGCGUUUCUGUUCCUUUUUUGUUCCCAGGAACAAAAAAACAGAAAUUUCUGUUCCUGGGAACAGAAAUUUCUGUUCCUGGGAACAGAAAUAAGUGCCAACCAUGCAGGCCCUUAUUUGCUCAUAAUUUCGUGCCGAUCGUUGCUGUGCAUUUAGAAUUUGAGAUUGAUGAUUGGUUGUUAUGAAUUGAGUGUGAUUGUGAUUUAUAGGGAUUCUUUAUGAAAUCCUAAGUGUAGAAACUAAUGGGAGAUUGGCUGUGAAAUACCACCUAUUAGAGGUCGUGCCCAGAGAGGCCGUGAUAAACCACCUUGGAAAGGUCGUGCCCGAUGAGGCCGUGAAAAACCACCUACAAGAGGUCGUGCCCGAUGAGGCCGUGAAAUACCACCUAUUAGAGGUCGUGCCCAGAGAGGCCGUGAUAAACCACCUGUGAAAGGUCGUGCCCAGAGAGGCUGUGAUAAACCACCUGUGAAAGGUCGUGCCCAGAGAGGCCGUGAUAAACCACCUUGGAAAGGUCGUGCCCGAUGAGGCCGUGAAAAACCACCUACAAGAGGUCGUGCCCAGUGGGGCCGUGAAUUGCCACCUGUUAAAGGUCGCACCGAGUGGGGCCGUGAUGCCACUGAUUUAAAUUUGCCGAGUAGGGCCGUAGUUGAGAGCAAUGAUUGAUUUGCUAGAAUGACAUGUAAUCGGCCGAGUCGAUUGAUCGCUGAGACGAUCCAAGUGGUUGAAUGGUUUGAUAAUGUGAUUGUGCCAUGGUUGUUUGGUUAUCAUAAUUGUACGUGGUUGGAUUAUAUAAAUUGUGCUAACCUGCAGAUGAAGGCUGAGGCGAGGUAAGUCUUCUGUGUGAUGUGGCUAGGCCACCCGGGGCGUAUUUUCUUUCUAAUAGGGGUUUAGGGGGUUGAACUUGCUGAGACAUCGUCUCAUCCCGGUUGUGGGAUUAAAAUUUCAGGUCCCUGGUGGACAGAGUGGCCAGAUAGCUUUGAUUGGCCUUGAGGAGUUGCAGAUGUGAAGUCAUAAGGGUUGGAGAGUGUGUCCUGCUAGUUGGUUGUAGGAUAGUCCCCCUUUUGUCGAGCUGGUCUAUUUUGUAGAAAGUCCAGUGUUGUAUUUAAACCCUUUGUGUUUGUAAAUGAGUGUUUGGUAUUGUGAUUGAUUGCCUGCUUUUCUAUCCCAAGUUAAAUGUUGUCAGGGGAUUUGUUUCGCUUCCGCAUGCGUAAAGAAAUGAAUGGGUCGGCGACAUAUCCUGGGAUGUCGCAUUUUUGAUUGACCGCAGUGGGAUGUGCGCGCGCUCGGGGUUCGGGGCGUGACAUCCUUACCAUGUAAGAAAUCGCAAAAGUGACUUUGACAAAUUUCCAGUUGCAAACCAAUAAGGAUCACAAAAUUGAAAUAAACUUUUCUCGAGGUUUUGAAUCAUUACACCCUCGUACUCUUUCUAUGGACAAAACCCCUCUCUCUCAAUUUCCCGUGUCUUUGGCGACUUGUAGAGUAGGCCGAAUUUUCCUUUUAUGACCAUUGUAGACGAUGCCCCUUGAAUGAUUAUUUGAAAAAUAAUAGGCUGGCUUCUUCUUUUAUGACUUUUGUAGACGGUACCGAUGCUCCUCCCAAUAAAGGAUUAUUGGGAAAUAAAUAAGGGCGUGUUUGGUAAUGAUUCUAUUUCCGGGAGUAAAUUCUAAUCAUAAAUGAUUUUUUUUUUAUUCUGUUCCCGGGAACUGAUUCUAAGUAUUUUAAACCGUUUGGUAACUAUCCAAAAUUUUUUAUCUUGGAAUAAAAUUACGUUUGGUACAAUGCUCAUUAAUUCUGCUCCAAAUCAAUUUCUUUUAAUUUUUAAAUAAUUUUUUUACUUUUUUCCUUUUUUCUUUUUUUUUUCUUUUUUCCUUUUUUUUUUCUUUUCUUUUUCUCAUCUUCUUCUUCUUAUUGUGGCCGGUCACCGGCAACCUCACCGGAGCGUCGCCGGCCUUUGGCGAGGCCAGCCUUCGUCAGCCGAGCCUCACUAGUAGCUGGGUGAGGCCUGCCUAGCCACCAGCAGGGCUGAGCGUCGCGAGGCUUGCCUAGCCCCAGCGAGCCUCACUGGGGCUGGGCGAGGCCCGCCUGACCACCGGUGGGGUUGGGCAAGCCUCGCUGGGGCUAGGUGGGCCUUGCCGAUGACUGGGCUUGCCUCUAACAAGCUCGAUGGACCUCGCCUUGGUCUGGCGAGCCUCCAGUGAGCUUUCCGGAACGGCUGCCGGCGGCUGGCAGUGGCGGACGGUGGCGAGCGGUAGUGGAUGGCGGUCGCGAGAUGGUCGAAGGGAAGAAGAAGAGUUAUUGGUUUUGAUUCUCAAAUUUGUUCCCGGAACAAGAAUCAACUUUUUUUUUUAUUCUUGAUUCCAUUCCCAAUUUGUUCACAGGAACAAAUUUGUUCCCGGGAAUAAAAAUUUUACCAAAUGCGAUUCUAGGCCCAAACUUAUUCUGAGAACAAAAAAUCAGAACUUGGCCCUGUUUGGAUGGUUACCAAACAUGGCCUAAUAGGUCGACUUCUCCUUCUAUGACACCUUAGGGCUAUCUGUGGUGAAAAUUUUGACCCUGAAGCACUUCUUGAGGGAAGUAAGAUCGAACCAUAUUAUUCACGGGUCUCAUAUAUUUUUGUGUGAUGACCAGCGUAAGGGGAUUAGACAACCAGUUGGGGCAAUUAUAAACCCUGAUGUUCAGAAAAGGACAGACACUUGAAAAAAAAUCACACCGAUUCCCAAAUUUGGCAUAGGUUAUUUUUAAUUAGAACAUUACAAAAGGACCGAAAAUGAACACGUCACUCAAAUAAUUUUUUGUUUAUGACCAAAAAAGAAAAAGUUGCGCUCCGACUCUUUCUGUCAAAGAGAUGAGAACAAGUUUGAAGGCUUUGUAUCAUUAGUUGUAGCUUUUGUCACCAUUGCCAUAGCCUUCUACUUCCAAAGUCCAUCCAAUCUAAAAAUUCUCCGAAGCCAAGCAGUUCGGAAGGCGAUCUCAUCUCAUUAAGUAAGGCCUCUGGAUUGCGAGGAUACAUGGGGCACAACUGCACUUCCAAAUCUAUGACUAGUAUAUAGCACCAUCACGCUUAUCAAAGGUAAUCAGACAUUUCGAGUUGUACGCUAAACAUCCAUUCAGGGGACAGCCAACCCACAUGGCGUCCUCAACUCAAUCCUAAUCUCUAAUGCACACGAUCAGCCUAACCAACCAAAAUAUAUUGAUUCGUGUCAAAACAUGUCGAUACCCCCCACCUUUGCCCAACCCUACUCACUCCGUGCAACCUCUGUGCAGGAUAUACUGUAAAUAUAUGUGGUUUUGAGAUGCUUUUGGUAGCUCACUUUGGACAUUAACUAGAGCAAGCCGCAUUGUGAGUUGUUAUUACGGGGAUUAACGGUUUCGUUUGAUUUGAAUUUUCAAGAAAUCCAAACUGAAUAGAUAGAGUGAAUAGCUGAAUCGGACCGAAUUCCAACCCAAAUUGGAUAUGAAAAAUCGGUCCGAUUUGAUUUUUCGGUUUUCCGCUUUUUACCUUGUUUAUGAGAACUAAAUUGAAUAAGAAAUAAGAAAAAAAUAGAGAUUUUAAGUUGGGCAUUCAAUUUUUGUCAAAAAAUUAGAUUUGAAUCGAUUAAUUGAACUGGAAAACAAGUUAUUUUUUCAUUAUUCGAAUCGAAUUGAAAAUGCAUGAAAUUCAAUUUGGCCCGAUUAGCUUUUGAUUUUGAUUUGAUCCGAAACCCUUAGUUGUUAUUUCCCCCGGUUUAUUUUAUGGCCGUCUGCGAGGACAACGAAAAUGAUAUUUUUCUUAUCCUCUGCUACGCAGAGAAAUUCUAGUGAAGACCCACAAUUGAUUUUGCUACGUGCUUUGAAUAAUUUAUAAUUUUGGCCAAAUAUUCAAAAAAAGUCAGUUUUCAGUUUUUCUUAAAUUAUAAACUGAAAAAUUUAACUCAAAAUUGAAUGGAAAAUUAACUCGUGGUUGUUUCUAGAAAAAAAUUGAAGAGGAAAAAAGCAUCACAUUCUAUCUUCCAAUGUCGUCGUCGUCGUCGUCCUCUCCUUCUUCUUCCGAAGCAGGAUGGCCGUUUGACAUCUUCCUCCGCUUCAGAGGCGAGGACGCCCGCCCCAGCUUCCUCCCUUCGUGGCGGCAUCGACGCCUCCAUCGACGGCGAUGGCCCAAGGCCCGGGGUGCGAGAUCUCGUCGGGCUCUAACGAAGGCCGUCAAGGUGACGCGGAUCGCCGUGGUCGUCUUCUCCGAGGACCACGCUUUGUCUCGGUGGUGCUUGGACGAGUUGGUGAAGGAAGGUAAUGGAGUGGAAGAGGCUCAAGGGAUAGCUGGUGCCCCUGUUCUACGGGGUGGAGCCGAGGGAGAUUUGAUGGCAGAGAGAUGGAGAGGGUUAUGGCAAGGCAUUGGCCAAUCACCGGUUUUUCCGGGUGGCAUUAUUAUGACCAUGGGUAAUCACAGUAUUCAUGUUCGACCCUGUAAAAGCAUAUAGGUAUUCACUAAUCUGUUGAUACUUGAUGGGAUCAAUUAGUGCUUUAAUAGUCUUGCUUUGGAAUGUCACGGAGUCAUUGUUUCCUUCGUGUUGGUUUUUAUUUAGCUCAAUGGAUCAUACAUCGCCAUUAAUUCCCACUCCCUUUGCUACUUUGUUUUGGCAGAGAUGAGAUCAAGUUCAUCGAGGGUGUUGUCAGAGAGAUCUCGACUAUAGGAGGAUGAGUACCCUUGAGUGUUGCCAAGCAUCCUGUCGGUGCAGGUUGCCAAGUAGAGAAAGUAAGAUCAUUGUUAAGUACGGGCUUGGAUGAGGUUUGGAUGAUAGGAAUAUGGGGAGCAAGAGGUAUAGGGAAGAGCACUAUUGCUAAAGCUAUCUAUAACAGUAUUGCUAGUCAGUUUGGUGGGUGUGGCUUUCUUGCAAAUGUUAGAGAAACUUCCAGUAAACCUGAUGGCCUGGUUCUUUUAUAGAAAGCACUCUUAUUCGAGAUUUUUUUGAAAGAAAAUUUAGUGUUCUUCAGUGUAGAUGGAGGCAUUAAGCUGAUACGAGAUAGACUUUGUUGCAGGAAGAUUCUGCUUGUGCCUGAUGAUAUGGAUCAUGGGGACCAGUUGAAUGCGUUAGCUGGAGAAUGUGAAUGGUUUGGAAAAUGGAGCAUGAUCAUUAUUACAAUAAGAGAUAAACAUGUCCUAACUUCUUACAGGAUAGAUUAGGUAUAUGACAUUAAAUCAUUAGAUCAAGGUGAAGCUUUUGAGCUUCUGAGUUCAUGUACUUUUCCAAGAAACUAGACGAAAGACAUACAUUGUGAUCUCAUACAUAAUAUUUUGGGCUAGGCUAAUGGCCCUCCCUUAGCGGUUGUUGUCUGGUUAUUUUUUAUGUGUAGAAGCAGAGGGGAAUGGGAGAUUACAUUGGGUAAACUUGCCGAAAGUCCUAAUAAGAUAUAAACAGUGUUCUGAAGAUAAGUUUGAUACAUUGGAGGACAAUGAGAAUGACAAUUGUUCUUGACAUUGCUUGCUUAUUUAAAGGGAGGGAUAGUGAUUAUGUAACCAGAGUUCUUGAAAGUUGUGGUUUAAAGACAUUAAUUGGGAUUCAAACUUUAAUAGAGAGGUCUUUAAUAAAUGUUGAGAAUUAGAGAACAUGACUUGAUGUGGCUGAUGGGUUAGGAUAUUGUGAAACAAGAUUGACCUAAUGACCCUAGGAAAUGGAGUAGAUUAUGGUGCUACGAUGAUGUUUUUGAGGUAUUUUCGGAGGAUAUUGUGAGAGCUUCUCAUGAAAUCAUUGAUAAUCUUGUCUUCUUUAAUUUACAAACUAUUCCCUAAUUCGGAUUGGGUAAUAAUGAUUAUUUUGUUUUCCUUGAUAGGGAACCAAUGUUGUUAGAGGCAUAGUGUUGGAUUUACCAACACAAGAAGAGCUAGACGUCAAUCCCAGUGCUUUCACAUAUAUGAGGAGACCGAGAUUGCUCUUAGUCCUGAAUGCACAGCUCAGCAGAGGUCCCAUAUGUCUUCUGAAAGAUUUAAGUGGCUUGAAUGGCCUAAAUAUCCUUUAUCAACUCUGAAGUUGAGUGCUAGUCUAAAGAAACUUGUUUGGUUUGAUAUGCAUAAUAGCCGGAUUAAAGAAUUAGGAGAUAACUUAAAGGUACAUCAUACAUUCUUUUAUUGACGGUUUUCAUUUUCGUACCUUUCACAAAGUGAAGAUUUAUCAACACCUUGUUUGGCUGUUCUUUUUAAUUUGCAGCAUUUUAGGAAUUUGAAGUUCCUAAUUCACAGCUGCUGUAAGUCUCUGAUUAGUGUUCUAGACAUCUCAGAGGUGCCAAAUUUGGAGACGAUGAACUUAGGUAGGUGCUCAAACCUCAAGGCGCUUCCAAGCAAAUUGAAGCUGAAAUAUCUUCAAAACGUGAUGUAACUGGCCGCUCUAAGCUUGAUAAAUUUCCUAAUAUUAAGGAUAUGGAGAGCUUAACAAAACUUCAUAUAUCUCAUACCUCCAUUAAAUAACUUCCUGUGUCAAUUGGAAACCUUGUCUCUGUUGAGGAUUGUGGAAGAGUCUUUUCAUUCUUCCUAGUAGCAUUGACGAGAUGCAAAGUCUAUAGCACCUUUCUCUUGAAGGCUUGUUCACUAUUUGGCUUGUUUCCAGGGAGCAGUGAGAGCUUCGAUCUCCCUAAUGGUAGACUUGGAUUCCAAAUUUGGUCUCCCUGAAGCUUAGUGCGUGCAAGCUGUUAGAGAAGGAAUUCCUUCAGUCUUACCUGCUUCUCUUCUGCAAAUAUUUUGCAUCUCUAUGGAAAUUUUUUUGUUAGUUCUACAUGCAUUAGCAAGUUUGAGGAGUUGAUGGUCCAUCAAAAAUUAGAUGAUUGUAAGCAGCUACAGGAGAUCUUGGAGCUUCCACCAGACAUUUGCACCCAUGACUACAAUGCAUUGUCCAGAUUUCCAAAAUUGCCUAUUCAGUGCAUUUAGUCCUCCAUGUCAGUGUAUGUUCACUUAGAUUCCUGUCAUGGAUUGGUUCAUGAAGGUAUCGGCCUGGCUAACAUUACACAUGUGCAUGAGCUGAUGUGAUUUCUGAUUUAAUAGAUUUGCUAUAGCCGGAUGUUGGUGAGAAUGGGUCACUACAUGGAUACUAUAUUUCCUAGAAGAGAGAUAGCGUGUUAAUUUAUCCAAAGUCAAGAGCAUUCCAUCUCUUUCUGGUACCCAGAGAUUUGCAUGGGAGUAACCUUGGGCUUUGUGUGUUGCUUUUGGAUUGGAGGAAGGAAAUGAGGCUAGAUUUAGUUUGAGGUUCGGGUAUUAGUGAAUCAUGUUCACAGUAAUUAUGAUACAAGAACAUUCUCUUUUUACAGUUCGAUUACUUGUGGUUUAAAUAUAUUACACACCAUUCAUUUGAUGAGCUGGAUGAGAUGCUAGAGACUGAGUGGAGUCUCUUCUAGGUUUCAUUUGAAGUAUUACAAGCAACACUAAAAAGGUGUAGGUUCGGCCUUAUAUGCAAGCAAGUAGAGAAUGACCUAAGGAAGCACCUUAAGCUUUUAAAGAUAAUCUCAAUUGUCAGAUAUAUUCUCGAUUCAUGGCAAAAAGGUCCACUUCUGGAUUCCAGUUAAUUUGAGUAUUUGAUGUAAUGCUUACUGUAACUUUUCGCAUUUUCUGAAUGAUUUCUUGCACUCUGCUUUCAACAACUUUAGCACUUCUAUUGUUUCCUGGCGAGAAUGACCCCCUUGUCCAUUUUCUGAUUUCUUUUAUGGAUAUGUGACGACCACAGUGACUGUCACCUCAAGCAACUUCAUCUAGGUUUGUGACAAAAGAUGGAUGGAUCGAACAUCUGUCGAUUUUGGCUAGUGCUGACCCCAAGUUGUGGAAAUUGAAUUGCGAGGGACUACCUUAUAGAUGUCCAAAAUUAUACAUAUGGACCAUUUAUAUUUUUUAGCAGCCGCAAAUUCGAAAUUUUAUAGCUGAGUUUUGCUUUAGGCAGGUGGGAGUAGCCCAAAUGCCGAGAUGUAAAUGGAUAUUGAAAAUAGUUAUGUGGAUAAUGUCUUUUGGCCUCAAUGUAAGUAUUGUUUGAGUCACUAGGAUUUUGUAAUUUAAAAUAUGCUAGAUUUGUAUUGCUUCUUGCACUUUACUGCUGGGGAUCCUAUUUUUUUUUCCAGAUUGCUUAUUGCGUCGCAAUACAAAUUAUCAGUGUCAAAACACAAGGAUACUGAAGUUCUUACUGAAGCUCUAGCUCUUUGCUCUCACUUUUAUGUUUAUGCGUCCAUUAAUCUCUCUAAGUUUCCCCCUUUUAUACUAGUUGGAAUGCUUAUUAUGCAAGAUUGUUAAAGCGAUACAAUUGAUGUGAAGGUUAGCUUUUCCAAGUUUCUCAGAUGUAGCUCCUCUGCAUUUAACCAAACUAAACCAACAGGCAUUAAUUUUGCUCUUCUGCAGAGCUUUUUGGCUGUUAUGUCUCUAUGAAAGUUUGAACAAGUAAAUAGUUCCAUAUGUUUUAUGCUACAAGUAUCAAUUGUUGGAAAUCUCUCUGCGUUUUAACAAAUUCAUGGUGUGUUUACCUUCGAAUGCUCAGAGACAUAUACCUUCCUAUUUUUCAGAAUGGUCUUUCACUGUGCAUCCAAAUGAUUGCCCUUCUAUUUGCCAUUCUGUUGCCUUUUUUCUGUUCUGUGACAGAGGGUGGCAUUACUUAUGUUAGAGGAUAUCCUAUGAAGGUACGAGGCAUCUAGAACAAAGUUGACAUUUCAAUUGCAUUUGCAAGUUAGAUUCCUGUGUAGAAUCCCAUCAACGUUUGUAUCCAAGUUCUUUCAGUUUUUUCAAUUAUCUUUUAUGUCAUGAAGUUUGAGCUACAAUGCAACUUAAUGUCCUCUCACAUUGCCUUAAAACUUCUAUUACUGAGGUUUUGCAAACUGAAUUCAGCAUCUUGCUUUCUAAUUUGUCUAAUUAGUCUAAUUAUCUUAGUUGGCAUGCCAUCCUAGUAUUGGCACAUACGACUUAAACUGAGAAAGGUGAAGGGCCAUGACUGGCAAAAAGGGCACAUUCUCUUCUUCUUGUAGAUGGUGGGAAUUAUGAGGGCCCAAUAGGGAGUGUGCUCAAAUUUGUAUUUGUUGGUUCUACAUUUGUAAAAAAUAUGGCCCAACUCGUUCAAUUUCAGUAGCCAGGUUAUAAAACAAUGCUUACGAUUACAUGGGUUAUGCCAAAUACAUUUAUGCCAAUUGACAAGCUGCUUCUCUCUAAUUGCAUUCCAUUUGCAAGCAGAACUAUAAAUUCCAUCAGAGCAGCAAUGUGAGGAUGCAAGAAAAGGGAUCCUACAUAUAACAGCCAGCAUUUGCAGCAAAUCGUCAGAUCUUGAAUCCAUGUUUCCCAAACAACUGCUGAUUAAGAUCAAGAGAUGGACCUGAACCAUAGACAAUUUCUUGUUGGAUAAUUUAUCAAGCAAAGGGCCAUAAGAUGCCACAAUCAAACCAUAAGAAAAAUGACUCCCUUACUUAAUGUGUACUUCAUUAGCUGCCUAGCUAUUUUACGCAGCUUCAACACUUAAUUCAGCAAUAGGACUCAAAGCGCAACUUUAAAGAUCAGAAACUUUUCCCUUUUUGUUUAUGAAUUUCAAUCCAAGCAUAGAUGUUCAGAAAUAAUUGGAUUUCAAGAAAAUGCUCAAAUUAUACAUGAGAAUGGAAGCAUUUUUCCAUUCCAAUAAUAUCAUUUAACCCCAAGCAUACUUGCUUCUGUCUACCUAAUGCUUUAUGCACAAUAGAGGUUUUCCAUAAGAAAGCAUCACGCUUUGCACAUUUUGUUCUAUUAGUUCUCUUGGGCAGGAUGAAAAUGUCGCAGCAAUAGUUCACAAUUAUAGAGUAGGUAAUAAGUCGUAAUUGACCAGCAUGAUAAAUUCAUCAGCAGUCUAAUGAUUCGAUUCCAGUUAACAACUAUAGAGUAGCUAGGAGUAGUAAAUCCAUUGAAAUGAAAUUUACUGCUAUAGCUCCACACCAACAAUUAUAGGGUAGCUAGGAAUAAUAAUUACACCUUUCCUCCCAAGGCAAGAAUCAUAAUGACCAUGAAUUGCAGCGAAUAGAUUAUAUUUGGAAAAAAAAAAAAAAAAAAAACCUCAACUUUCGUAAGUCAAGAAUGCAAUGUGAACAUCAUUUGCUUGUUUUUUGUUUGAAAUCAAGGAGGGGUCCAUGCAUGUGGUGCGUGGAAAGUGGAGCGUUCGUGCAUUGUCAGCUUUAUCAAUCAAAUAGCCUUUUUCUUGCUAUUACGUGUGAGCGUCUGAUGAAUAAAGAGGUGGUCCUUGUUUGAGCUUUGUCUACUCGUGAAAGAAAUAGAGACCAAAAGCAAAGGAAUAAAAUGGGAAGACACAUAUGGCCAUUGAAAAAAUCACAUACCUACUAGCCGGUGAACAUUUGGCCAACCGAUGGGUUCAAGUCCUCAUGUGAUAUGUAGUUAUUUUUAAAUUUUUAUUUUAAAAUAAAAUCUAUCUGAUUAAAAUGACUCGACUCUAUACUUCUUUUUGUAGGAAUAUUCUCAAAUAAUAACUAUCAAGCCCUUUUCUGUUAAUAAUAAAUAAAAUAAAAAAAUGUAAUGGAAAUUGCCCCAGUGGAGUGGCAGAAGUACAGCGCAAAGUGCCAUAACUUGGCACGCCGGGACACUUAAGUGCCAUAACUUCCAAACGGUACACUUAAGUGCUACUUUUUUUUUCGAGUGGGACACUUAAGUGCCACCUCCGGCGACCCUUGCCGGAAAUCCUACGUGGCAAUUUUUUAUUAUUAUUUUUUGCCUACGUGGCUCGCCGGAGCUCCAAAUCAGCAUAAAAAUUAAAAAAAUUAAAAAAAAAAGAAAAUUUUAAAAAUUUUAAUUUUAAAAAAUUUUAAAAUUUAAAAAAAAAAGAAAAUUUUAAAAAUUUUAAUUUUACAAAAUUUUAAAAAAAUAAGAAAAUUAAAAAAAUUAAAAAAAAAAAGAAGGGGGGUGGGGGAGGUCGAACGGGCGGCUGAGGGCUGAGCCCUCGCCGCCGCCGCCUCCCCGCCGUNNNNNNNNNNNNNNNNNNNNNNNNNNNNNNNNNNNNNNNNNNNNNNNNNNNNNNNNNNNNNNNNNNNNNNNNNNNNNNNNNNNNNNNNNNNNNNNNNNNNUAAUUUUUACCAAAUGUUUUUAGAUAAAAAUAUCUAGGCUUCGGUUGUUGGACCAAUCAUACACCCCUACCAGUUAUCAAAAAAUUGGCCGAUCAGCAAGCUUUGGCUCCUAUGUGAGAUUGAUUUAGUCAUUUUAGGUAAUUAUUUGAUUAAAUUCAGUUUAGGCUUUUUUUGUAAAACGAGUCUAAUCCAUCUCCUUGUUUAACAUUUUCCAGAAUAAUAACAACCAAGCCAUUUCUGUUUAUAACCAAAAAAAAAAAAAAUGCAAUGGGAAUGCGCCACCAGAGUCAAGCCUUGGAAUCGCCCAGGAUAUGAGCAUGUAGAAGGAACAAAGUGGUGGGGGCCACCUGCCCAUCAAAAUCAACUUGAUCUUUUUUUCUUUUAUGAGCAAAGCCGCGUGGAGGGAAGCUAGCACGAAACUGAUAGAGCAAACAUUUCUUUGCGCUUUUGACUUAAGCAACAAAGACAAAGAAAAAAGGUGAGAUAUCAUCAAAUCACAUGAAACUCAUAAUGAUUGGUAUAAUUAUUACACUCAAUUGACAUUACUAUGUUUAUAUGUAGUACAAAUUUAGAUAAUAACAAAAUAAGCUAAACUCUAUGUGUAAUGCAUCCCAUGUUAGUGGAUGCUUUACACUUUUGAAGUACCAUUCUUCGUUUGAGUCUAAACGCAAAAAUCUUCUUCUGGACUAAAUAAUCUAAACAUAAUGUGUUCUUUUAUGCCUAGUAAAAGUCUUUCUUAUAGAUUCUUAUACCAAGUAUCCCGUGCUUUUAAAAUGACUACACUUUGAUUUGACAGGAAUGACAUCCCCAAGCAUAUGAAUUCCAAAAAAAGUAUCUAAAGAAUUAUUCCCUAGUCGAGUGGAAGAUCCUUCACUCUAAAGUAAUAACAGAUAAGCUAUUGGUGUGCCAAUUAAUCAUUUAGAGAUGUUCUUCUAAAAAAUUUCUCAUGUCUUUGAAUUUAUACAUUAGAACCUACCACAUUAAUUUCAAUUGAACAAAAAACUUGAUAUGUUCUCAUGCUUGAGCUAUGAAAGGAAAAAGGUAAUCCUUAUCCAAUUUGUAAUUAGAUUGCCUAAUGCAUAGAAAAUGUGAAACUGAUUGUUGGUGAAGACGUGCUCAUAUCAAAGCCCUUCUCUCAAAUCGGCACAAGUAUCUACUUACAUACAUGACUAAUACAUUUUGUGUAGGAUGUUACAAUUGAUUUACAUGUCAAAGCUAUCCUCUCAAGUUACCCAAUAAGUCCGCACUCUAAAUUUGGAUUUCUUCAUUCCCAUUAUAUAUUGAUUUAUUGGAAGGCAUAGCAAAAAAUCAUGCGAAUUUUAACUACCAAAAUAGUAGUAUGCAACAAAUCACGCUAGUGGCAUUUCCCCGUGCCACAACACAUCACUUCUCCGAGCUUGCUGAGCCCACCGGGCAACGCCUCCUCUCCAAUUUCCUGCCACCACCUCUCAUCUGCCUUGCCCACAAAGCUGGAAAUUAAUAUAAUAUUCUUUGUUGACCUUCAAAAAAGAAAGUCAUGCCUCUGCGUGCAAAGAAAAUACCGAGAAGAUUCGAUGGGGAACAAAUCUCACUGAUUGCGAAUGCCAUUUCCUGGAAGCCACAGCCAAGUACUUUAUUGGGUGGCCAAUGGAGUAUCUUACCUUUUAAGAUCUCGCUUCAUCCUUCAGCACCUUCAUUUUCCAAGCAAACACACCAGCACCUGCCUCCUUUUACCAAAUUCUAAUGGCUUCUUCUUCUUCUGUGUUAAUUAUUUCGCGACCAAAGAAGUGACAUUGGCAUUGAGGCUUGUUUUCAGAAAGCUCGCCAAAGGAAUUAACAAAAAAAUAUUCGAUUGAGAUCAUGGUUUGUUACAUCGUUCAAAGUGGGUUGCAAUUAAAAUAAUUGGAAAAGGUAAAGCCUCAAUUUCAAACAACACCACUUGUAUUUUAUCAAGCUAGGAUCUUCUGUACGUAUCAUGUGUAAAUAAUAGACAAAGCGCAUAGGUUAAGCCCAUAGGUUAAGCCCGGUGCAUAUUUCCUUUUUUUUUUUUAAGUAAUAAAAUAAAAUAGAAAAGAGAAUUUUAUAGGGACACGAUGAGUUGAAUGAUGUAAACAUGCACAUGACUCCCUCAUUUCAUUCUUAAGCAAAAGAUGGCUACUUAAAAAUAUCAAAAUCAAUUAAUGGGAAAAAACAAAAUUAUAUCUGGUAGGUGUUAAAAAAUCUAUUUCAUGACUUAUUUUUUGGGGACACAAUGAGUUGAAUAAGCAAAAAAUCUAAACAAUUUGCUACCUAAUAAUGUGAAAGAUAUGUUGCCAUUCAUAGAAGAAGAAAUAUUGGAAUGGAAUAUAUCGGAUUUGGGUUGAGAAUGAUAUAUUUUUUUUUAAUUACAUACAUAAAUUCAUAGCUAAUUUUUUUAUAUGCUUUGAAAAUAAUAUUGAACUUUGGCAAAUAAAAUAAAGUAGGGAUGAUCGAUUCUUGAUCCGAUCCAAUAAAAUCGAUCAUUCUUUUUAUUUAAAAAUCACUAAAGAGUGUUCGUGCACAAUGAGAGAGUGAUAAAUCUUAAGAUAUUGACGGAAGUGGUGAUAAAUGAAAAGUCAUUGUUCCGUGACUUAUGAUGUUAUUGGACAAGAUAGUAUUUAGUUCAUACUUGACAAAUGUUUUUGAAGAAAUAAAAACUAUAUAUAGUGGAUCUAGCCCGACGUGAUUUUCACUUUUUAGAAUCAGGAACAAGACGGACACUCUUGAUAAUCAUAUCCAAUCCACUGAUUCGGUUCGGUCCGAGUCAUUCUCAAUUGUUGAUUUUGAACACCCUUAAAAUAAAGUCGCUUUCCAGUUUUUUGUAGGACACAAAACAAACAAUUUUAAUAAUAAAAAUGAACGAAAGAAAACUUCUCGUCCAUUUGUGAAAAAUGAAAAGAAAAAAAAAAUGGGGGAAGGCGCUUUUCUUGGGAAGAAUAGGGGGGUUCAAUGUUUCUAGAGACAAAAGACGAUUUCUUGACCAACUCGACGAUAAAAGCAUCACUCAUUGCUCGACACGAACCCAAAUUAAGUUCAGAUUCUAUCUUCCAAUGUCGUCGUCGUUUUCUUCUUCUUCUUCUUCUUCUUCCUCUUCCGAAGUAAAAAGGCGGUUCCACGUUUUCAUUAACUUCAGAGGCGAUGACGUCCGCUACGGCUUCGUCACUGACCUCCACAAGUGUCUGCUUCAUCGCGGCAUUAACGCCUAUAUCGACAGCGAGGACUUGAGGCGCGGGGACGAGAUCUCGCCCACCCUCAUGAAGGCCAUCGAGGACUCGCGGAUCGCCGUGCUCGUCUUCUCCAAGAACUACGCUUCGUCUACGUGGUGCUUGGACGAGCUGGUGAAGGUAAUGGAGUGUAGGAGGGACGAGAAACAGCGGGUGCUGCCGGUGUUCUACAAAGUGGAUCCCGGGGAGAUUCAAGAGCGGGGAAAGAGUUAUGACAAGGAAUUGAUCAGACACGGGAAGAAAUUGGGAAAGGAUUCUGAGAGGGUGAAGAAAUGGAGGCAAGCCCUAACUGAAGCCGGCAAUUUGUCCGGUUGGCAUUAUGAGCAUGGGUAAUCAUAGUAUUCCUGUUCGACCCUGGAAAUAAUUUGAAAUUUGAUACAUGAUGGCAUCGAUUGGUGCGUUAAGAGUCAUUUUUUCUGGAAUGUCACAGAGUAAUUGUUUACUUCGUGUUAGAUUUUGUUAGAUCAAUAGAUUGUCUGUUUCCAUUUAUUCGCGUUCUUUUUGCUGCUUUAUUUUGGCAGAGAUGAUACCAAAUUCAUUGAGAGCAUCGUCAAAGAUAUCUCGACUAUAAUAGGGCGAGUACACUUGAAUGUUGCCAACCAUCCUGUCGGUGUAGGUUGCCGGGAAGAAAAAGUAAUGUCGUUGUUGGGUAAGGGCUUGGAUGAUAUUCGGAUGAUAGGAAUAAGGGGGACAGGAGGUGUAGGGAAGACCACUAUCGCUAAAGCUGUUUAUAACAGAAUUGCUAAACAGUUUGAUGGGUCCAGCUUUCUUCGGAAUGUUAGAGAAACUUCCAGUAGACCUAACGGUCUAGUUCAUUUGCAGAAUACAUUGUUAUCCGAUAUAUUAUGGAAAGACAAGUUAAAGGUCUCGAGUGUGGAUGAAGGUGCUAAUCUAAUACCAGAGAUACUUUGCUGUAGGAAGAUUCUACUUGUGCUUGAUGAUGUGGAUCAUAGGGACCAGUUAGAUGCAUUAGCUAGAAAAUUUGGAUGGUUUGGAAAAGGGAGCAGGAUCAUCAUUACGACAAGAGAUGAACAUAUACUAACUUCUUGUGGGGAAGAUCGGGUAUAUGAAGUUGAUCUAUUAAAUCAAGGUGAAGCUUUUGAACUUCUCACUUCACACGCUUUUCAAGAAAACAGCAGGAAAGACAUAAGCAGGGAUCUCAUAGAUAAAGUUUUGGGUUAUGCUGGAGGCCUUCCCUUAGCGAUUGUGGUCUUGGGUGAUCUUUUACGUGGUAGAAGCGGAGGGGAAUGGGAGAGUACAUUGGGAAAACUUGCUGAAAGUCCUAAUGAAGGUAUAUGCAAAGUGCUCAUGAUAAGUUUUGAUGCGCUGGAGAACAAUGAGAGGAACAUUUUUCUUGACAUUGCUUGCUUCUUUAAGGGAUGGAUAGAAAUUAUGUAACUAGAGUUCUUAAUGGCUGUGGCUUACACACAUUAAUUGGGAUUAAGAUUCUAAUAGAGAGAUCCUUAGUAACAAUUGAGCAAGGGACAAGAGUACAAAUGCAUGACUUGAUUCAGCAAAUGGGUCAGGAUAUCAUUAAACAUGAGUGUCCGGAUAACCCUGGGAGACGAAGUAGAUUAUGGUGCUACGAUGAUGUUUUUGAAGUACUGUCGAAGGCUACGGUGAGAGCUUCUCAUGAAACCAUUGAUAAUCUCAUCUUCUUUAAUUUAAAUGCUAUUACCUAAUUGCGGUUGGUUAUAAAUGAUUAUUUUCUUUUCCUUGACAGGGAACCGAAGCUGUUAAAGGCAUAGUGCUGCAGUUGAUGACACAAAAAGAGCUACACAUCAGUCCCGGUGCUUUCUCGCAUAUGAGCAGACUAAAAUUGCUCAUAUUUUGGAACGCACGAAUCAGCGGAGUUCCCAUAUGUCUUCCUAAUGAUUUAAGGUGGCUUGAAUGGGAUAGAUGUGAUUUAUCCACUCUGAAGUUUAGUGCUGGUCCAAAAAAACUUGUUUGCUUUGAUGUGCAUGGCAGCUGGAUUAAGAAAUUUGAAGGGAACUUACAGGUACGUCCUAAAUGCUUUAAUUGACGGUUUUCACUUUCAGUGCAUACAAAUUGAAUUUAUCAAAAUCUUGUUCAGCUGUUCUUUUUAAUUUGCACGUUUUAGGAAUUUGAAGUUUCUAAAUUUUUAGCACCUGUAAGUUUCUGUUUUGUGUCCCUGACCUUUGAGAGGUGCCAAAUUUAGAGAUAUUGAACUUAAGUAGGUGGUCGACCCUCAAGGAGCUUCCAAGUUACCUAUAUUAAUUUGAGUGAUUUACCAACUCCUCAUGAGUUAGGUUACCUCUAGUGUUAGUUUUUCUAACUCUUAUUUGAUUUUGUUAAUGACGUUUUCGAAAUCACUUUUUGAUUUAACAAUUUACUAACAUUUAAUUUGUAGAUGUUAUCAACAAGUUGAAGUUGCCAACUCUUACAAAAUUUACCAAUUUUUAUUUGAGUCCAUUUACCAAUGUUUAUUUGAUUGUAACUUAAACAAGUUGGAACGUUCCUCAAGCAAACGUGGUAAAUUAUGUGAAUAGUUGCUACUUUUGAAACAACCAAAUAAAAGUUAGUAAGUGACUCAAAUAGGAGAGUGUAACUUAAUCACCACAAAUGAUGGCAAUUGUAAUGAUGUUAGUAAUAUUCAACAGAAUUGUUAAUUUCAUAGAAGAGCAGUGAUGUUAACAUGCUAGUAGGCUUUCCAAAUUAACCUUGGUAUACUAUUGAAACAGUGGGUACUUCUUAAACAAUGUCAAUUAACUCAAUAAGAGUUGAUAAUUUUGGAUAUAAGUUAUCAAACCUUUUUAGUUGGUAAGUUGCCACAAAUGUUGGUAAAUUAUCAGAAUGGUUAAUACUUUUGUAGCAAUCAAGUAAAUAUUGAUAACUAACUCAAAUAUCUAUUGGUAUUUUCAUGUAAGAGUUCUUAAAUUAGCUCUGCAUAUAAUUGUUGGUAAAUUGUUGGAUUAGUUGGUAAUUUAGGAAAUAGUAGGUAAUUUAGUAUAGGAGUUAGUUCAACUGGUUGAUAACUUUAACAAAUAAAUAUCGGUAAAUUAUAGAAUUUUUUUUUUUUUUGCAAAAAACCUAAUAAACGUUGGUAAGGGGACUCAAUUGGCAGUUGAUAAUUUCCUAGAAGAGAUAGUAACUUAGACAAGUUGGUAAGCUGGCAUAUAAAAAUUCAUGGAUUAUUAAAACAGUUGAUAAUUUCGAAACACUAGAAAAGACAUUAGUAGUGAUUCAAAUAAAAAUUGGUUGUUUUCUAAAAAGAAUUGUAAAUUUAACACAUUGGUAACUCAAACAAAAAAAUGCAGUAUAGAAAAAACGGUUGGUAAUAUUAAAAAUGAAAUAAAUGUCGGCAAAAGGAUUAAAACGAGAGUGGGUAAUUUUAUAAAGUACAGUGAAAAUAAGCGCCGCAGAUAAAUGUUGCUAAAUCAUUAUAACCUAUAAUAAUUUCGAAACAAUAAAAUAAAUGUUGAUAACUCAUUCAAAUAAGAUUUAGGGCAAAACGUGGAAUCGACUAGCGAGAACAAAUGCAAACAUUUAUCAUCAAGGAGAAAUCAGAUGCAGAAUAUUAAACACGUGCACAAUUACUUACAUGGUGUCCCGUGUCCGGUCAAUUGUGCAUACAUCCUCAAAAAGAAAUUGAGUUUUCAAAAGAUUAAGUUCCUAAGAAGGUCUCACUGAAUUUCGAAAAAUGCAAAAUCAAUUCGAUAGGGGCAUGCUUUAGCGUGUUGUUGCUUCUACUAGAACUAUAAUAUCUUUUGGUUUGCUCGGGACUCAUUCGCCGAUCCUACUCCACACCUAACCUCCAUAUCACCAAGCAUGUUCUUUCAAAUUUUUACGUUAAGUACAUCACGUUAGCAAUUUAGUUUUUAUGUUCCGCUCAACACGUGAGUACUCUCUUGGGCUACUCCAGUAAUCAUCCGAUAUGUACGGGACAAUAGAUAACAACACGACCAAAUUAAUCGAUUACUAAGGGCAUCUCAAACCUCCCCACUACACACACGAGAAUUCUCCCAAAUUUUCCACUUACUUUUCACAUGUAGGAUAGCCCAUCAUAUUUUAGGUAAAUAAGCCUACCUCGGACGAUUACUUGCAUGGUGUAUCCACAGAGAAAUGCCUAAGUAAGUUUAACACACUGGUAACUUUUCACAUGUUGGUUGUUCCAUAAAGUAAGUCAUAUACGUAUGUAUGUACGUGUAAUUCUAACAUUCAUAUAAUCUAUAGUACAAUAGAAAUUAAACAGGAGCUUCGGUGGGAUCUCUCUCUCUCUCUCUCUCUCUCUCUCUCUCUUAACCCCAAAAUGUAGUCAAUUACUUAUUUUGCAAAUGUUGUAUCUAUAGAGAAAUGCGUGAGUUAGUAAGUUUAUAUGAUCUCUAACAUGUUUCAAUAUUGAAAUUGUGAAUUCUUUUUAUGCGACAACAAACUUUUUAUUUGAAAUCUUGAAAUAUCCUUUUUUGUCCAUAUACAUGUAUAUGUUUCUAUGUAUUGCGUAUUUUAUCAACAAUCUCUUUCCAUUAAAUAUUUCUAAAUUGGUGAUUUUGCUCAACUUUACAAGUAUCAAUUUUUUGCAUCCACAGUACACUUCACCCGUGUUUACGUAGAAAUAUGUAUAAAAAGUUCCUCAUAUUUCUCUUCCCAUGCUUCAUAUGAGACAAACAAACACUUUGCUUGUUUCAUGGGAAAUAUUUUUCAGUAAAACAUUUUCCUGUAUACGGUUUGCUUAGGCAAAUGAGUCCACUGAUUAGUAACUGAAUACCUAUACUUAAAUUCAGGAAAAUGAUUUCCCUCUUUCAAAAGCCGAAAUACAUUUUCCCAAAUAUGACUAACUAUCGGUGCUCAAACCCAAAGUUCUACACUCGGACAUGAAAACUCUAACAUACAUUCCCAGGUCCCGACGUUCAGGUUUAAGUCUCCAACGACCAAGCCUGAGCCCCUAGUGCCCAUGCUCGAGUUCAUUGAGGUUGAGCUUGAAUCCCUGAUGCUUGUGCCCAAUUCCCUAGCACCCAAGUUUAGGACCAUAAAGGUAGUGCUCGAGUCCCCAAUACUAAAGCUCUUGUCCUCAAAGGCUAUUAGCGGGUCUUCAGUGCUCGGGCUCGGGACCUUGAUUAAUGAAAUGUUUGUUCUUAUAACAAUAUUUUUUUUGGAAAUUGAUUUUUUAAUUAUUAUUAUUAUUUUUUCUUAUUUUCUUUUCUUUCCUUUUUUUUCCCUUCUUCCUAGGCUAGUGGCUAGCCAUGACAAUGGCAGGCAACCGGCCACAGGCAAGAGACAAGCUCACCAACACCGGUCAUGGCCAUGGCUGGCCUUUGGUCGAGGAAGAAGGAAAAAGGAAAAGAAAUAAAAGAAGUAAAAAAAGAGGAAUAAAGAAAUAAAGAAAAGAAAAAAAGAAAAAAAUUAAAAACUCGAUUUUUUGGUAAUUUUUCUCUGGAAAAUCUAGUUUCCCUACCAAACGGCAAAAAAUAUUUUCCAAUUCAUUUUUAGGUUUCUACAAAAUAUAUGAAAAUAUUAUCAUUUUCCAGAAUAAUGAUUUCUUAAAAAAUAUUUUUCUAAAAAUAUUGUCUUUUCGAUACAAACUUCAAUUUGGCAUUUUCUAAUAGUUUGGCUCAUCCAAUUAUUAUCUGCAAAUUCAUUUUGAACCAAUAACAAAUCCUAUUGUUUAACAUGUUUUCCAAUAAAACUCCACAUUAAAUUGCCCAAAAAAUAGAACUAAACUAUUGUUGAGUCCCUAUUAAUGAACACCAAUGUAACUCUCCAUAACAUGUAAACCAUCAAUGCUCCAUGACCAAUCAUUUACAAUUUUUUUUUCCAUAUAAAAACCAUCCCGUAAUCCCCUUCCUACUAAUAACUCACCACCUUUAUCUUUUGAGAGAUACACCUUCAAAUAAAAUUCAUGUAUAGCAUUUCAAAUCAUUAUGGAAUGACAACUCAUUGAUAAAGGAGUCUAAAAAAGAAAGUAGUUAAAACUUAAUUAAAAGAAGGCGCAAAAAGACUCAUUAUAUAUUUGACGGUGUGCACCAUAGAGGUUAAAUAAAUUGCACAUGAGAUCCACUAGAUCGAGAUGUCAAAGUCUAUCGACGCAUCUACAUUUUUUAUUUAUCUAUACAAAUGCAAGGUAUAAAUGUGGUGGUUCUUUUUAUAAUGAUAUAUUAAACUUUGAGCUCUUACACAACACCAACAUAUAUGUAGCUUAAAAACAAAAAACUACGCAAGACCGCUUGGACUCUAUUAUUUUUCAUUUUUUUUGGUUAUAUUUAUGAUCAUCUAGGCUUACAAAAUAUGUCUUCUUCUAAAAAACAAUCAACCAACCACCACUUCCUCAUAAGUGAUGAAUAGAAGAGGUUCCCGACCUUCCACUACCUCUAGGGGAUCUAUAGGCGGGUGGUUGCGAAUCUCUACAUAAGAUUCUAGAUGUUAGCUUAAAUGCAUGUGAUGAGUUAGUUGGCAAAGGAAUGAUCGUGGCUCAUGUGCUCCCACUUGAGGUUACACACUCUUUCUCUCUAAAUCACAAGUAUUGUUUUUGUACGUAUACGUAGUGGAAGUGGCCACACCAUUCUAGCGUGUAGUGAAAUUAUGAGCGUUGGUCAAUUUACAAGGAUUACUUACUGGACUCAUAUUUAUAAAGUGAGAUGGUGUGCUCUAUAUACACCAUAUGAUCUAGUGAAUUUUGAUGACAUAUGGCUUGGAUUAUGAUCAAUUGAUUUUUAUUUCAAAAUCACAGCCAAAUUUUGUAAUAAAUAUAUGCCUCACUUUUUUUUCUUUGAUCAUUCAAAAUGUCUAAGCAAGUUGGUUUUAUUGUUCUUGUAGGGCUUUGAAGAAUUGAAGUUCAUUAACUUGGAAGGUUGCGGGUCACUGGUUUAUAUGCCGAACGUCUCUUGUAUUCCAAAUCUCGAGAAAUUGAAUCUCCGUAGCUGCAAAAACUUGGAGCGUGUCCACGAUUCAGUUGCGAAUCACUGUAAGUUAUGGAAGUUGAAUUUAGAAGAUUGCUCUAAAUUGCAAAGAUUCCCUGAUAUUCCGAAUAAGAACGAAAGCUUGCGAAAAGUUCAUCUAGGGUGGACUUCAAUUGAGGAGCUUCCUGCAUCAAUAGGAAAUCUUGUCUCUCUCGAGGAGAUGUAUUUAUUUAAUUGCAAGAAACUGGCAAUCCUUCCAUCUAGCAUUUACAAGUUGCAAAAUCUUGUGGUCUUGCGACUUAAUGGCUGCUCACAACUAAUCAAGUUUCCAAAGGAGGAGGAGGAGGAGGAGGAUGAGGAUUUGAGUGAACCCCAUACAAAGACGAGAUUUCCUAUGUUAUGUACUUUGAGUCUUGAAGGGUGCCAUCUAUCAGAAGUAGAGUUCUUGGAAAAUCUUUCCUGUCCCAACUUAUUCAGAUUAUUAUUGUCUGGAAACAAUUUUACUAACAUUCCUACAUUGGAGAGACUAAAUGACUUGGAAGAGUUGGAGGUUUCGAAUUGCCAACAACUGCAAGAGAUCCCCAAGAUUCCAGGGAAAAUGAGAAGACUAGAGGCAAAUAAUUGUAAAUCUCUAACUAGAAUUCCCUCCAACAUACGUUACCUUGAGGACGUUGAGUUAUAUUCAAGUCGGGAGCUAGUCUGUAAUGGGUUCCCCAUGAAUGAUUUGUUCAUGCCUGAGGUUAGACUCUCUCUCUCUCUCUCUCUCUCUCUCUCUCUCUCUCUUGCAUUAAUAUGGAGUAGGGUAUAUUGUGGCUUGCAUUGGGUGUUUGUGCAUUGCAAAAGGCUAAAAAUUCCGGAAUGGUGGGCUAAUUUUAAAAAAAGAAAAAGAAAGAAUAAAAAAAGCAAACACAUAGAAAGUGAUUAAGCAGACAUAUAGUGGACGCUGAUGUAAGACAAUGCAAAUGAUAUUCUCUUUAUUUAUAAAACUAUAGUUCGUUGUUAAAUUAAAAGGACCGCCCAAUGAAAAACUUCAAUAACAUAUGUUCAUCUAGUUACAAAAUCUUCAACAAUACAUGUCCUGUUUCUACUAAUUAAGUACAAAAAAAAAAAAUUGUAUUGCUAUUGCCAACUAUAUAUAAAACUCUAGGAUUGCCACUUAACUCAUUCAUACUCCUACUUUUAGGUGCCAAUUUCAAAAAAAAAAAAAAAUCUAAUGGUCUACAUCUAUGACAGAAAUUUCAUCGCCAACCAGAUAGUCGAGUUGUUCUACCUGGAGGAGAGAUGCCAAAGUGGUUGCUACCCAAUAAAGAGGGUUAUAUAUCUUUCAUGGCUUCAAAGGACUUAUAUGAAAAUAUCCUAGGAGUAGCUAUAUGUGUUGUAGUUCAAGUAGAAGCAAGGUUGUAUGAGUAAUCUACGUCUUGCCCAAUUGAGAUUAUAGGAAUUGUUAAUGGAAAAGGCAAAACACAUGUUAUACAUUUCAAGUUAUUUGAUUUGGAUAAUGUGUGGCUUGAGUAUAUGGAACCAGAGGAUUUGUGGAUAGUAGACCAUUUUGGUGCAAAUGACCUGACUCAUUUCCACAUUAGCGUUAGAGUAUGCAAUUAUAACUGUGGUGCCUUGGAUAACGAUCUACUUGUGAAGAAGUGUGGAUUCCGACUAAUAUGCAAGCCACUAGAGAAUGAUCCAGAGGUUUUGCUUCAAGACGAUCAAUUGCUAGAUCCAGCUCUAUUCUACGAGGUUUUGCAUGAAGAUAAUCCAAUAAGUUGGAGAUCCAAAGGAUUGAACAUGGUUGAUUUUUCAAUCGAGGUAUCUCUCUCUCCCCCUCCCAAUGUGUGCAUGUGUAUAUGCGUGUGUAUAUGCAUGUGUUGAUACGGUGUACAUUGGGUGCAUGUAAUGCAAAACUGUAAAUUCUAGACAAACAAACAAAUUUAUAAAGUGAUUUUGCACACGUGUAUAAAGCUUAACAAAAUCUCAACUUGAUACAAUGACGAAGACCCGAUAUUCAUAAUUCCUAUAUUGAAAAAUACAGUUGAAAUCUUAGAAAAUCUAAUGAACAAAUGGACAUGUGGUUCUUGAUGUUACGGUUGAUCAUAACAACCGACACCCAUAAUAGUACUAGAUCAACUUUACGGACUAAGAUAAAACUGCACAACUGUAAUAAUUCAAUAAUUCAACAUGAGACCUUUUUUUACUCAUAGGUGUUUGUUGCUAUUAUGAUAGGGGACCAUCGCACUACAUGCCUUGCUAGCCACAUGUGGAUUACUUGGACAGUAUGAUUUAAUUUUAUUAAUAGAGAGUAUUGCAUUUGAGAUUCUCCCUUUAUAUAAAGUUAGAGUAGACAUAAAAGGGGCAAGUGGUUGGAUGAGGCUGGUUUGUGGAGAAGGCAUGCAUUAGAUUUUCCUUUCCAAUUUUCCGUUAGUUUGAGUGCAAGUAAAAAAAAAAUUCUUUAAUUUAUUUUAAUAAUGAUAAGUUUGUUGCAAGCAAGUUGGAGUUCAAUUAGAAUAGUUUGCAUUGAAGAAUCGGCGAUCUCUAAAGUGAACUCAUAAAAAAUGAACAUUAGACAAUGGGGUCUAACAGGGGCGAUUAAUUUCUUGGACGUGCUGUUCUAUUUUCUAUCAAUUUUUCGCUUCCUUUUUAGUACACUCGUAUUGUAUGAGCUACGUCUAGGGUGAUUCAAUCUAAUAUUAGGGGUGGCUAGCACUUGCAAGGGAAGGAUUUCCAACAUAAGCAAGGAUCAAUAUGUUUAAUUAUUACAUAACUCUAGCUUUAGUUGAAUUACUGCGAAUAUGCACAAAUCAAACUCCUUUUCUUGAACUAAUUACAAACUUGGAUACUUCUAACCAUCUAUUCAUAUAACAGAAGCAUCGCUAUUCCAGCAAGUGGUCUGAUUACCAAAAUUUUAGCCCUGGAAGAGAGAUGCCAAAGGGGUUUGUCCUUGUUGAGGACGGUACUAUAUCUUUCAAGGCUUCGCAAGACUUGUACAAGAAGUCUGUAGGAUUGUAUCUAUGUGUUGUCUUUGAUGUAGAAGAUGGAGAAAAGGAAGUAUCUUUCGACAUCGUACCAAGUGUCAACGGCCAGAGGCGGAAUGAGAAAUCAGGAACUCUCGGUUUAUUUGAUACGGAUCACAUGUGGUUUCAAUUUUUCAAACCAAAUGUGUUGUGGGGAUUCUUGGAGGGAGCAGUCGACUUUGGUCAAUUUGACAAGAGUUAUCUGAUGUUUAGCCUUGAUAUUAGAGUAGCGGGUGCAACCCUGAAAAGCUUGGGAUAUGUGAUGCAAUCCGAUCCACUAGAGGAUGCUUUGAAGGUUGAGCUUGAGAAGAAUCGAUUAAUGGAUCCAGCUUCACUAUUUGAGGAUAAUGGGAAUCCAUGGGGCUAUGGGAGCAGCGGAUGGAAGAGAUUGUGCAAGAAACUCGAACAUAUGCAUGGAGGAAGAGACUUAAUAUAUUAGAAGAGGGGCAUCAUGCUUGGCUCAUGUGUCUUUAGCAUGGGGGUAGGGCACUGCGAGAGGUAAAGCAAGGGUUUUGCGAAAAGAUUCGGAGUCAUUUCCAAGUUAUUUGUAUUAGGGUUUGUGUGAAUGUGUGUGAGUGAUUGAUAGUAUCUGUGUGUUAAGGGUUGCGAGUGUGUCUUAUUUUUGUUUUUUUUUCAAUUUAUAUUUUUUCUUCCUUGUGUGGCCCAAUGGGGGCAGGUAAAAUCUCUCCUUUUCUAUAUUUGGGCUAGUUUCUCGCCUCAGUGUUUUUUUUUUUUUUUUUUGUUAAAAAAAUCAUUUGAUUGAAGAACCAUUCCAAAAAGAAAUUGCUAUUGUAUUGUUAAUUGAGCAAACCUAAUGAGCAUUUACAUCUCGAGCUUUUGCCAAAAAAUUUUUAUAUAGAUACCCCAUGCAUAUAUUAAAAUACACUAUGCUCAUACAUAACUAUAGAUGGACGAAAUCAUAACUUGAGAUAAUGAAGAUGAUUCGCAGGUUACCGAUUAAUGUCUUAUCUUUUAAAUAUGAAUACAAAAUAAUUAUCUACUAUUUAUUUUCUUACCUUCUAAAAGAGGUUAAAAUUUUUACAUAUUAACAAAUAUCAUGACGUUGCAUGUACAUAAGAAUUGAUAUUUCGAAAGUUGGACAAAGUAAAUAUAUUAUUUGCAUGUAAUAAACAUGACAGUACCAUUUUGCUAUACUUCUUGUCUUGUUUUGUUGUGCUUUAGCUUUAAAUCCUAAAUUUUUUAGCAUUUAAUACUAAAUACUACAAAUUUUGAGAAAUUUAUAUAAUGUUCUAGUAAUUAAAAAUCAUUUGAAAUGCUUUUACAUGCUUACUUUGUUUGAAAUAUAUGUGAUCUUAAACAAACGAAAGAGUUAUAUAAUCAAAUCUACCGUAAAAGUUAUGUGUGAUGUCAUGAGACUGAUUUAAAUUAUAUUGUUAAAUAAUAGUCAAAACUAUGUUAUUUUGUAAUAUUGAAAUCAUUAAAUCAUGGAAAUAAAUAGUUGGUGUAAUACACAACAUGAAAGAGUGCGAUUGAGGAUGCCACUUCCUUACGACUUCAUCACCAUCAAUCGAUCGUCUGUACCAUCUCCGAUCGGUGACAACCGCCGUCAAAUCUCCCUUGCCGGUAACUGCAACCGUAGUGAUGGAGCAGAGAACGAACGCUCAUCACCACCAAUCGAAACUUCUCUCGUGCUCUUUCUCCCUCGCUUGGUGCGUGCGUGAGAGCUGAGGAACCGAGCGAAGCAAGAAAAAUAUCUUCCUCUCUCAUCUUGAGUGCUCUGGACCGAAUCCGGUGUCCACGCCCGUGGUCGAAGCCAAUUGCAGCUAAAUAUCUUCGUCGGCAAUUUCGUCGCUGAAUUGAUUCGUCGCCUUAGCUUCGUCUUCGUGAGAUUCUCCAAGUCUUUCAGUGUCUUCAUUUAUUAGCAGGUAACCGUUCAGAUCGGAUCUCCCCAAGGUAGGACGCGGUCGAUUCAUUGAGACUCGAUCAUACGAUUGUUCUAUGUUUGCCUUUUGCCGAGAGCUUCAAAUUGUUAUCUUAAUUUGCUCAUUAUAUUGCUCGCCGAUUGAUAGGAAUUCGUUUUUGUAGAACACCUCACCAUUCAUGUUCACCACCUGUUCGACG